This 64303-nucleotide long non-coding RNA is filed under the name Selaginella moellendorffii. RNAcentral describes it as "long non-coding RNA (SMOE_LNC001866)". The record is from RNAcentral. Lineage: Eukaryota; Viridiplantae; Streptophyta; Lycopodiopsida; Selaginellales; Selaginellaceae.
UGGAUCAUCCGGAGGGUCGUAUUGGAUAAUCCAGUCCUGCAGGAGAGAUUGAAUACAGACAAUUACAGGAAGGUUUUGGAAAAACUUACCACAGCCGGUAUAUCAAGGCCACGAGCAGCAACAUCGGUACAAAGAAGUAUACCCUUCUCCGCAUUGCAGAACUCAAAGUACGUAUUAGUGCGCUUUUGUUGCUUUUGUUUGCCAUGAAUAUCAAGGCAUGGUAUAUCGAUGAAGUUUAGAAGUUCCCCGUGGAAUUUCACUGAAUUGCAAGAGGAAAAGAACACCAUAACCUGCAAAAUAAAUGGCUAAGUGAUGUGUUCCGUUUAGUCCAAAGAAUACCUUUUUCUUGAGGUUCUUUUUCAAGAACGUAAACAGAAGAAGGAACCGCUUGUCGGUCUUCACAACACAGUAGCCCUGUUCCAAGCCUUCUACUGUAGCCUGUAAAGAGUGACCUUUCAGGACUUCUUUAACAACAUGAGUUUAAUACCUUGCUUCUCUCAUCGUCCACUCCGAUGUAUAUAGGAGCUUUCUUGAAAGAAAGUUUGGCCAAGUCUUCCACCUAAGCUUCCAAGAAAUACAGAUUAGAAUCUUCUUAGCUGUUAUGGCUACUUACUUUUGUCGUUUGAGUGGCAGAAAAAAGGACAGUUUGUCGCUCCUGCAUGAAAUUCUUGUGACACCCAAAGAUACAGUACCCAUGCUUACUUUCGGUAGGAGCUUGAUGAUCUGUUUCAUAUCCUCCUCAAAGCCAAUUUCCAAGAUGCGAUCUGCCUCGUCAAUCACAAGGCACUGACAGAAAAGUAAGAGAGAAUACCACAUAGUAAUAAAAAAAAAAACUAACCUGCAAAUUCUUGAACAGAAAACCCUUCGUGUUUUGAAGAUGAUCCAGAAGCCUUCCUGGAGUAGAAACGAGUAGAUUCACUCCUUUCUUCAACGCUUCUGCCUCUACGUUUCGUUUCACUCCUCCCAUAACAAUCCCGUGGGUUUGGCUAUGGUGUUUCAUCAACUUCCUCGCAACUCCAUAUAUCUAUCCAGAAAAAAAGCUUUAGAAACCCGUAAGAAAGCUGGAAGAAUCCUUACUUGCAUCGCCAGCUCUCUCGUAGGAGAUAUGAUCAAAACGCCAGUUCCAUUCCGUGGCAUGAAACGAGCAUGGUAGAGUAGCUCCACAGCCGGAACCAGAAAAGCAAGCGUUUUGCCGGAGCCAGUCCUUGCGGCUCCGAGAACAUCUCGUCCCUUGAGCAGCUCUGGGAUUGAUCUCGAUUGAAUCUACAAAAGAAAAAGCUUUGUCGCUAAGGAAGCAAGAAAAAGAAGAGAAAAAAGACCUCAGUCAUGUUCGUGAACCCGAUCUCUGCAAUCGCAUUCUUCGUAGGCUCCGACAGUGGCAGCGCUCCAAAGUUCAUGCUGCUCAUCAUACCAUUCACAAGCACAGUGCCUUCCACCACCUCCGGAUCCUUCGCAACCUCCUCCGGCUCCAAAUCCCUCUCAUCCUCCUCAACCUCCUCUCCAAUUCCCUCCCCAUUUUCCUUCUCAAUUCCAGGCUCUAGAAUCCCGCCCUGCUCCUCCUGUCCCUUCUUCCUCUUCCUCACCCUCUUCCUCGACGCAUUCUCCCGCGUACCUGCAAUCUUCGUCUCGAUCCUCUUGAACGCUCCCUUCCUCGUCUUGAGCACCUUGGGCGCGCCCGCCAUCGCCAAAAAGCCCUAGGGCGAAAAACCCCAGACAAGAUCCCAGCCGUGGAUCCCCGCCAGCGAUCCAACGCCCCACAACAGCCGCAAGGGUAAGGAGGCGGCGAGGCGGAGCCGAUAAGAGCGCUGACGUCAGCUCGCAAUCGCGCCGCGUGUAUUUUCCCACUGGUUGGGAACUACGCGGCGCCGCGACCCUUUGGCUUCGUGCAGGGCCACCGGGCAGCCAACGUGUCCCGCUGCCCGAUGCCCCCGCUGCCCGCGGCAGUACUGCCCGUACGGACAGCGGUCCAUUUAAUAAAUCAGUGUGUGGUCGGUGGCGCAACUCAACGUAUUCAGUACACAAGACCCUCCAAUGUGACACGCUGACGCUACACAUUCACGUUUCUUCCUCCGGGGUGGUAAAAAUCGGCCAUGAUAGACAACAGCGGCACUGCAUGCAACACGUGGCCUCGCAAAAGGUGGUGGAGCGUCUCUCUCUCUCUCUCUUUUCUAGGUUUAAUACGCGCGAGUGCAACGUGUGUGAUUUCUUUCCACCCCCGAUACCAAACCGCCAACCUCACAACUCUCCCUUCAUACAUUUCUAUCAAGCACUGUAAUUGAUCAACUGAUGGAUCAAUUCUAAGCUUGGUGGUGGGGCGUUAACGCCUCGCAAUUACGAGUGGCCAAGAUUCCAUUCCCACGAGUUCCACCGUUUCCCGGAAGGGCUUUUGGGCAUAGCAAAGAGGCAAAUAAAAUAAUACCCCCUUACAAAGUAAAAGGAAAAAAAGGAGGGAGGGGGCCACAAAAUGCACAAGCACUGCACCGGAAUAUUUUCUAGAUGCACGACCCCUCCACGAUUCCAGGGAAUUGGGCCAGGGCUGAAAUUUCCCCUCGUACGACACGUGGGUACGGGCACCGGGCAGCGGGCAGCCCGGGCAGGGCGGGCAGCGGGCAGCACCCCCUCUCCCAUUUGAAGGGCCAAAGAGAAAGACGAGGAAGAAGAAGCUGUGUGCGCUGUGAGAGCUAUCCCUCUCCUCGGCUAUGGUGGCUUGUCUUUCUCUCCCUUGUUUGUGAGCUCUCCCCCGUCGCUUCCUCUGUUUUGUUGCGAGCGCCGCGACGAUCGAUAGAGGAUCCUCCGCAAAUAUCCCAUUUGGGCUCUCGAUCGAUCCAAUCCCCCCUCUUUUCCAUGCAAGGAAUGCGAAGCGGGAGUGUCUAGUUUCUUGGUAGAUCGAUCGCCGCCGCCACCGCCACCGCUGAUUGCGUGGAAUGCACGCCAUCUGAGAGAAUCGAAGCUGCAAGAGGAGCCAAGAGGAGGAGAAGGAGCUUGGAGAGGAGGAAAUUCUUUCGCUCACAAGGUAUGGAUCGGUUGAUUAGCUCCAAAGAUCGAGCAUCGGGAGCUCCGGCUCGUCGAUUUGUUUGGUUGAUAAGAAAGAAUAUAUGAGGAUCCAUUGGCCUGAUCCUUUGUGUGGUUUUUUUGGUUGUUUUUGUUCUUGGGCAGUGAUUCGAGGAGGAGACGAUGAGCUGCAAUGGAUGCCGAGUUCUUCGCAAAGGAUGUAGCGAUAGCUGCAUUCUCCGGCCUUGCUUGCAGUGGAUCGAAGGCCCCGAGGCGCAAGGCCACGCUACUGUCUUCGUCGCGAAGUUUUUCGGCCGCGCGGGUCUCAUGAACUUCAUUAGCGCUGUUCCAGAGAAUCAAAGGCCAGGUAAGCUUGGCCGCCACCAUGGUUUCCAGUUUCUAGCUUUGAAUCACCGUUCUCCUUGGGUCCUUGGUUUCUAGCUCUCUUUGGUUUCUAGCCUUGGUCGUAGUUUCUAGCUUGAAUCACAGCUGCUUGGUUUCUAGCUCUGAUCUUCUCCUUGGUUUCUAGCUUUCUCAUCUCGUGUUCUUCUUUCGUGCAGCUCUUUUCCAGUCUUUGCUGUACGAGGCUUGCGGAAGAACCGUGAAUCCGGUGUUUGGAGCGGUGGGAUUGCUCUGGUCUGGAAGCUGGCACGUUUGUCAAGCGGCGGUGGAGACGGUCCUCAAAGGUGGGUCUCUCCAGGCCCUCAAGCAGCCGGGAUCAAGCUCCAUGAGCGGCGCCGCCACCACCGCCGCCGCCGCUAACGCUGGUGCCACCACCCUCUUCCACCGCCACCACCACCACCAAACUCCAGGAACCCGGUCGCCAACCUCGGUCCUGGUAGACGCUAUGGAAUCACACAAGCCACUCCAGCAGCCAGGAACUGGAAGAUACGUGGAGAGAUCGCAGAGACCACUGGAAGUUGGCAUCGAUCAUCGCGAGCAGCAAAGUGGAGUGAAGCGGGAGUUUGAGAUCGUGGCUCCAGUCCCUCGCAGGAUCCGUCCGAGGCAGCAGCAGCUACAGGAGGAUCGUCAUCCAGGUUUGAGCGUUGAUGAUCACCAGGUCUUGGACCUGGAUCUCACACUGGGCUCUACUCCAAAGCAUCAACACGAGGAAGAGCAGCGAGCUCUGGCGAUGGUGGAGACCAAGAGGGUGCACAGUCCCUGCCAGUCGAUCACGUCCGAGGGAUCCGUCACCAGCGUCGACACCGCCGACCUCAAGAUCUCUCUCAGGCACGAGCGAGCGGCGCCGGCGAGAUCAUUGUCAACUUAGAUGCGAUGCGAGAUCUUUCAUCCAUCAUCGUCUAACUUCUCUCCUGCCAGCCUCUCACGCUCGAGCGAGCUACUAUCGAUCGGAGUUCCCAGAGUUUGGAGUUUGUUCCACGAAAGUUGGAAGAACGUCACGGCAUUACUAAUCUUUGCGAGGUUUUCUAUACUCUCUCUCUCUCUCUCUCUCUCUCUCUCUCUCAAAUUUUCAAGGAAUAAAAGAGUACAUCUCUUGAGUGGAGAUUUCGAUAGCUCUAUCUUUGUGAACUUAAAGAUUGAAACAUUGAGAGCUAGAAUUUUUUUUCUCUUUCUUUUGCCAGGAUCUUAUCUUCUCGCGCUAGUCACCGUCGCACUGCUGUGUCUUAUCCCUUUGGAAACCUAGCGAUAGUUGGACGGAUUUCUUCGCCUUUUCUACUUUUUUUUUUUUUUUUUUCUUUUGUUUUGGCUCCAUUUGAGCUAUGGAUGAGAACAGCGCAGCUCAAGUUGCAAUGUUCCUGUCACGUUUAACAAGACAUCUUCCCGUACGAUCUGGAAAGAAAAGAAGUGACAAACAACUUUUAAUGGCAGAUCUUGGAGCGAGUUCUCUCUUGCAGUAUCGCCAGGUGCCACAACAGCACUGGAUCAUCGAUCUGGAGUUCCUCCAGCUUCCAGAUCGCGUCCUCGAUCACGAAAUCAAGAUCCGCAGAUUUGAGAGCGUAUUCUCUCUUUCAGCUUCACCAGCGUUUCCCGCGCGCCGCAGCAGUGGAUCAUCCCGCUCACUCGCCACGCGAUCUGGAGCGCCUCCAGCUUCCGGACCGCGUCCUCGACCUCAAAAUCGCACGGCAGAUCCACCUCGUCAAUGAGUACGGCCUCGCAUUUCUCUUGAGCUCCUACGUACGGUAAAAUCCAUAAGAUCACGCCCAAACCGUGUUCUUGGAGCUCCUUACCUCUGAUUUAGCGGCUCCAUUUUUCAUGAGCAAUCCAAAGUAGGCCACGAUUGCCUCGUUCACCUGGAAAGUUAUGAAUUUCCAUCUAAGAACAAGGCUUAGAUUUGAUAGAAACACAAUACCUCUUGCUGGAGAGCACUCUCAACCAGGCAAAGAAGUGUUGCUGGCCCCGUAUCACGCUGUUUUUCAUAGAUUUCCUUGGAGAUUAGCUUCCCAUACUCAAGAACAUUGGCCUGGAAACUAGAAAACCAAGAAAACUUUGUCAACUUUGCGACAACCUUUGGAGUAUACUUACGUGUAGUAGACCUUGAAGGAAUAGCUAAAAAUCAAGGUGAGGAUUGCGAGGCCAAGCUUAAUCCUGGAUCGCCCAAAUGCUUGCCAGAAACCAACCUAGUAAGUUAGUUUUUUUUAUCAUUGUUUUGCUCAAAAGAAUUUGGGCAAUCUUUGCUUACACCCGCAGCUGCAGCAGAGAUUGCGAGCUGAAACCACUCGGAUUUUCCCAGGCGAGGCGUAGUUUUCUCAGGCUGGAAAAGGGAAAUUUGUCAAUGCAAAUGAUUAUAAAACUUGAAAUGAUUUCUCGUGAUUUUUACCAUAACUAUUUCCAAGUCGGCUAUUGGGAUUUCUCUAAACUGUCUAAUAUAAAUCCCGUACUUGUACUCCUGCUGUUUCAAUCUAAAAUAUUGAAAUAUUACAAUACUGAGAAAAAUUGAAAUUAAAAAGUUCUAUACCUGUAUAAAACCACGACCUGGCUAAAUGUUAGUUCUUGUAGCUGUACUCGCUGGAACAAAUUCCCUAUCCUGUGGGUAAGAUCCAUGAUCAGCUUAAAACAAAAAGAACUAAUAUACCCACUUAAUAUCCUCGACGUGGAUUCUCUGUACGGUGCGUAUUCUGUCAUUUCCUUCUUCAAUGUCCGCUGGCCCCGAUUCCAUUGGCGAGCUUUUGCUUCGUUUUGAUUUCCAACUGAUUUAAGUUUAAUGAUAAGGUUAAAAUGUAGAAAAAUCUUACACAGUUCUCCAAAAGCUCCACCAUAACACCUUAAGCUUGGGCAUAAAGUAGAAUCCUUUCCUCGUGUCGAUCCCAACACCCCGGUGGUAGACCGAAAACUGCGAUAUUAUUAGCAUGGAUUAAAUGGUGGUUAAUAGUGACAAAACUUACUAAGUUCUCAAACAAGUUGCUUCCUCCAGGAGCAUUUUGUAGCAGCUGGUUGUCUAGCUAUGAUAGUAUGAUAGAAGUCAUUGAUCAAGCUAGAUAGUGUACAAACCCACAGCACUGACCUUGGAUUUUUUGUAGCCGAUUUUAAGCUGGAGGAGGUACUUGCUGUGCUUGGCUUCUUUCCACUCCACCUCAGUUACCUGCUGGAAAUUACAUUUCUCCAAAACCUGUGCAUGAGAAUCGAAAAAAAAAAAAAAAACCAUUGGUUUGGUCGUCAAAAGCACGAUAUUUCUUUUGGUUUGUGUAUCGAUUUUACGCUGUGGAAGCUCCCGAGGAACUUCUUCUCUAAAUCCCUCGCGCCAGGCUCCGAAUCCUUGAGCUUGUUGGUUGCGUCCGUGGGAUGGAAGUGUGUCUUGUGAAGUUCGUAUCAAUAACUCAGACCCUUGUAAACCAAUUCCUGAUUAUAGAUCUGGCAAGCUCACCACUAGAUCCUUCAAAGCUUCUUCAGUCAUCUUCGUGAUCUCGACUUUCAUCAGGGAGCACAGAUCUUUGAAAUCCUGCGCCUCUUCGACUCGAUCUGUUUGUGGAGAUCAUGUCACACAAAACUAUAAUUACAAAUGGAUUGAUACCAGCAAGCUUUUGCUCCAAGGUGGUGGUGUCGAUCAUAAUCGCGGGUCCUCGCCGGACUCGCACCAAUCUGGAAGACAUUAUAAGAUAGUAUUCGAGAUUUCGAGAGAAAACACAAUGUAGCAAAACUUGUACCAUCCAGUACAAAGAAUCGCAGCUUUUGCUAUCUACAAGCAAAAAUUUCAGUAGAUUCCCUCAGAGCUUACGUUUUGCUGAGAAUAUUCCAGUGCUUUAUAAUUAAGCAAAGAUUCGAAUCGAUUCUCGUUAGAAACUUGGUUUUUUGUACGGAUGUCUACGUCCAUUUGAGACCAGCACGGCCCAAGUUACAACGAAGAAAGCGAGUUCUCUCUUGCAAAAUCGCCAGCUCUCCUGCGCGCUGCUCCGAUCAUCCCGUUCGCGCGCAGAUCCUCCAGCGUCCGGAUCGCGUCCACCUCGCUAAUGAGUACGGCCUUCCACUGUCUCUUUUGCUCCUACGUACGGUAAAUCCAAAGAUCACACGUGUUCUUGGAACUCCUUACCUCGGGUUUAGAGGCUACAUUUGCUUGAGCAAUCCAAUCAAUCGCAUAAUUUCCUCAGUCCUGACAAGGCUCCACUGCCUGGAGAACCCUUUCGUGAUAUUCCGUGUGCGGCACAUUGAAGGGAUUCCCAGAUCUACCUUUCUUUUCCAUUUGCCAACCUCGCUCUUGUUGCUGCUCUCCCUUUUCUUGCGCUUGCAGCUGCCUUGCUGAAUUCUGCUAGGCCGCUCUUGCCUUCGCGUUCUUGCCCCUCCCUUUGCUGCGCGUUUUAGACCUAGCAUUGGCCUGGAAACUAGGAAACCAACAACAAGUAUGCUUGCAUGUAGUAAACCUUGAAGCCAUAGCUAAGAAACACUGCAAAGAAUUGAGAGGCCAGGCUUGACACUGGACCGACCAAAUGCUUCUUAGCUAGAGACAAAUACUAGAAGUUUUAUUCUUUGUUGCUUCAAAAUAAAUUUGGGCAGUCGUUGCUUAGGCCCAUUUGCGCACUCUCCAUUGAGAGCUCCAAUUCGAACAGAUGCCAUUUGCAAACUUGGAACACACUCUGCGGGUGAGAGAAGAGAUAUGGAGAUCGGAGCACUGAAGCCGGCCUCUCUCCCGUGAUCCUGCCUCUGGCCGAUGGUUGGCCCACCAAACCAGGUCAUGGUCAGCUGGCCGGUAUUAGAAAAUUCACAAAUAAACUAUACACAAUGAUUUUAUUAAUAAUUAUAUAGUUAAUUAAUGUAGUUUUAAUGUUAACUAUAAAUGAUUAGCAAGGGUAAAUUUAGUGUUAAAAAUUGAUGCCAUACUAAUCAUUAUGCUCUAUAAUGUUUAAUUUGCAUUUGUUCUUCUUUUCCCACUGAAUAACAAAAGAAAAACUCUUGGUGAGAUUUUAUUUUUUUCACAACAAGGAAGCAUGUUACCUAUUCCCAAUUGAAGCAAUUAUCUCAAGCAAUGCCACAUCAAUGCCUUCUUCCCUCGAAAGAUGCAAUCCAACAAAAAAAGAAAUAAUCAAACUAUGCUUACUCUUUCUUGGAGUGGAUGGGAUAGAUGCUGUCUGGAUUUAGGGACUUCCAACACUGCCACUGGCAAUAUUGGGAUCUCCUCCUCCUCUGCUGACCUAUGGCAAGACAUAGCUUCCCACCCCUUCCUCUUCAUUCAAUUCGGGGCACUAGGACAUGGCUACUUGCUGAUUACCCAGAUAAGCACUAGGGUUUGCCGGUGUGCCCGUCACCAAGGCCUGCCACUGCGUGGAUUGUUUCACUUUCUCGCCACUGCUGGGAUAUGACACAUACAGAUUGCUGCCACAACAUGAUUGAGCUUGAUUGCAGCUGGGAGGCUGCUGCUGCUGCUGAGUCACCAUAACUUCUUUCUUCCUCUCGCAUCUCUUCUCGCAUAAAAAGCACCACUUCAAAUGAAAUCGAUCAAUUGCAAUGCCAAGGGCAAAACUAUCCAAGUUUGUCAAUCUCUCCUCCUUUGGGUCAAAUCUCUAACAAAAUUUCCUCUUUGCAGGAGAGGAAAGAAGCGUUGCAACAGAGACUAGGUGAAUCGCUGUGUUGGGACUUGAGCAUUAUGUUUGGGAAGUGGCUGUUUGAUCCGGCUGAGCUAGAGAACCCUUUCAUCCACAUCAGGCAAGGUGAAAAGGAUUUCAUACACAUGCAUAAAUUAGAGCUGCUGGAUAGAGAUAUCCUGAAUUAAGCAGCUGAUUAACACAAAGUUAAUCACAGCUGCCCUACAGGCUAGUUAACAUGUUAUAUGUGACAUGUGCACAACAUCACCCCAAAUAGUUCGGUUCGCCACUUAUUCACUAAGUUAAGAUGUGGUUAAAGAAAUAAUCCUUUUGACAGUUACCCCAUCGGAUGGCUACCAUUGGCUGGAUCCGGUGGCCCAGAAAGUUCAGCAACUCAAACGUUAUGUUUAACUAAUUACACUAUAUUUUGUAGAAAAAAUUAUAUUUAUAAAUACAUAUAUUAUAUAUGUAAUUAUUCUAUAAUAUUUCUUAAUCUAGCAGCUGUGAUUUUAUGCUCUUAAACUUUCUCUAAUUUGACUAUAAUAAAGCUUUAAGUUUUUAGGAUCAAAGAACUUUAAUUUAAAGUUUCACUUUAAAUUUUUAUAUAUAAAGAAAAUUUAAUAGCUUGCUAUUGAUUUUAUAAAAAUUAUAAAAGAAGAUUUUAAACUUAUAACAAAGAAGUGUAUCUCGAACAAAUGUGGAUGUAGAACAAACACUAAGUAGCUUAAAAGUGACUUUAGAAAAAUCAUACUGUAACCCACUAAUGUUUCAUUUCACAGCUAUGACUUCUUUCAUUGUCAACUCUGCCAAGUUAGUUUCCAAAGCCUUGCCCUUCUCUAUUGCCUUCUUGACAACCAACACCUUAUGCACUUUUAUGUAUGCUGACAUGAUUUGUUAUACAGGAUAGCCAAAAUAACAAUCCCAGUAGUUGAAUCUAACUCCUGCCACUCAGUGCCUUGGGUACUUUGGUGCUUGAUAUCAACCCGAGGUGUGUGGCUGCCCAGAAGUGAAAUAAUUUUGAAAAUUUUAUAAAUUUUUUGGUAAAAUUCCUCUCAAUAAAGUAUAUUUUAUAAAACUUCCCAUUGAAGUCUACAUCUAGAAAUUGCAAACCAAGGUGAAAACUAUUUACAUCUUCAAAAUAUAACAUCAGUACCCCACUAGAAUAUACUGCACGAGGAUCGUCAUUGCAGUGGAUUUUCAAAACUUAUAAUGUACUAGUUUUUAAUAUAUAAAUGACCUCCCUUGUAUAAAUGCUAUGGUGUGCAAUUUAUAAAAGAGUGAGUGUUACUAUAGUAGAUUUCACUCACAAUAUAGUGUCCAUGUGGCAGUAUUCUAUUGGUUCGGCAUUAAAUAUCAUUUGGAUGCCUCAUGGAUACCCCAUGAAUGCUGGCAAGUUUGACCCCAUGACAUAGGGAUUCAUUAGGUCAAAGGGUUUAGGAGACACUUCCUUGCUUUAGCGCUUUGCUUUAGUACUCUGUUAUUCGGCAUGUUUCUUGGUAACAAAUGUGGAAAGUAACUUGGUUUGCUAGUGAUUGGUUUCAAAUGUUUUUAUGGGCAGUGUUAGAAGUGGCUUUGAUUUACUACUCAAUUGCUCUCUAUGGACUUUCAAGUUCCUACAAUAAGUAUAAUUCCCUCCCUAAUUUAUUUCAAAUUUGUGUCACUGAAACUUUUUCUUCUAGGUUUAGAUGAGGUGGAUGGCCUUCCAUCCAAUUUUAGUGAUUUGGAUUGUGGUUCUGGUGUGGAUAGUGACAAUGAUGCUCUCCUAGAGGUUUGCUUAGUUUCUAACCUCCUAGAUUCAUGAUUUACACGUUUUUAGGCUUCUAUAAUUUUUUGCGAUUGAGGGGAUUCGGUAGUCCAGCCGCAUUUGGCACUUGGAUGCACCUGAAGAUCCUCGAGACUAAGACUAUUCCUUACCUUGCAUGGUAUCUUAGAAUUUUUAAGCCAACACUGUAUAAAUACAUGCAACUUGUCGAUCCAAAUUGGAGAAGUGUAUAUUACAAAGUACCACUUGAAGAGGUACUUCAUCACGUUUGAACUAACAAUGCCACGAAUCGAAGUAGCACAAACUAGGGAAUUAUUAAUUCCCAAUUUAGCUAUUGAAUUGGAAGAUACUAGUUUAGCCGAUGCCAAAUUUGUGAGGCCUUAGCCACUCACAAUCCAACUAGGUUAGAACAGAGGCACAUGACAAGGAUUUAAUGACGGAUUUACAUGAAUGAGGAGGCUUAUACACUUUGCUAUAUAGAUUGUGAGUAUUCUUUCAUUUUUGCUUUUUUGUCAGCACAUGUGAUAACAUGUUUAUUGUAGCAUGUUGCAAGCUUGUAAGCUAUACAUGCCAUUAUUUGCAGGGCAACUCAUUAUAUUGUAACUUGCGAGCUAGCUACCUCCAAAGAAUCCUAUGCAAUAUUCAACACAUAUGCACAAGCUAUUUGUUGAUUUAGAAAGCCUAAGCGCAUCCGGAGCGACAAUGCUCCAAAGCACAAUGAGGUUGAGAGGGACAUGGUCUGCUGUUGGGGUCCUGCAACUAGGAGCUUCAUACAUAGGACAUUAACACAUAACCAAAUACUCAUAGCGUUAGAGUUUUUCCAAAUAAGGACUAAAUCAAAUUUGUUUUGCAUCGCAUAGAGCAUUUGUGGAGAGAGCUCUUUGAGUGUGUAGUGUGGUUUUAUAAGCACCUUUUUGAGUCCAUGGAAGAUAUAAGAAUUCUCAAUGUAUCUAAUCCAUGGCACAACCAGAGUCUACGUUGUGUCUUUGCUCUAUACCUCAAGAAGGAUAUUUCAUACUGGGUUGCAACCUGGAACCUCCAUGAGGUCCGUCCGUAUCAAUGUGGUGAUUACUUCAGACCAUCUCAUGUUCCUGCAAACUUAUUUCAACCGAUGGAAUAAGAGCUUAGGUAAAAAUUUUGAUAAUGUUACAGCAUUCUUUAUAAAUUGUGCUUUUGUAGGAUUAUGCUAGCUAUUGAUAGAAAAGAUAUUGAAAACCUUUUUGGACCAUUUCUCUUUAAUGUUGAAGGUGCAACUCUGUCAAAGGUAAUUUUUAGAGCAAGAAUAGAACAAUUUCUUUAAAUCUAUUUCAUUGUGCUUAGUUAUCUUACAGACUCUUGGCACUAUUUGAAACUAGGCAUUUUUUAUGGAUUGGGAGGGACUCAACUUGGACAAGCAAUAUCUACUUCAUUUGGAUCUAACAAUGGAGUGUGUAAUGGCUUAAGUUGCAGGUGUAGAUUUACCACUUUAUAUCGAGAGUGCCUUGCUUAUAGCAACAUCAGUGAAGUGAUGAACUUUGGAAAAGUUAUACUUGGCCAUACUUGGAGAAAAUUGAGUGUUCUUUAGUGUACAUUUCAAAUUUAAAUUCAAUUCUUGAUUUUAGGGUUUCCACAUUCGGGACUAAGGUUUACACCAAGUCCCACCUAUAUUAAUUGUGCCUUGGAUACGGGGUGAUUUCAUUUUAUGACAUGAUUUUUUGUUGAUGGUUCGUUCAUUCUUCCAAUCGAUUUAUGUCAUCUAACCGUAGGCAAAGCUUCUAGUGCACACUCCCCCAAUUGCAGAACUACCACCCAAGCAAGAGUGCCAUAGCUGCGAUGGUGGGUAGCCUCUCCUCGAUCAUGUUUGCAUAAUUAAUCCCUUGUGGUUUCUAAGCUCAAAGCAAGAAUGUUGCACACCUCAACAGCAGUAGACACUAUGCGGGAAACACCUCAUAAGCACGCAACCAAGCACUCGAUGUUCCACAAUCAGUACAGCCAACAGUCCCACAAGACACACACCAGCCACUUGAUUUUCCAAGCUCUUCAACAAGGACAUCAACUCCAAUAGCAUCCCAUCCACAACUCCUGAUUGUUCCAAUGAUGGUAAGGCCCAUGCCGAGUUUGCAAAAUUUUGCCUCAACUCUAUCCAACCUUGCUACUAACCUCCUUAAACAUUAUGGGGAGCUAUAGCAAACAAGGCUAAUGGCAACUGGGCAAUAGUAAUAUACUUAUACAAUGUUAUAGAGCAUCUUACUGACAAACAUUGGCUAAGUUAUCAAAAGUAAGCUCGAGCACUUGAGGAGAAGGAUGUUUAUAAACGUAAGUAUUAUUUUUAAGUUCCCUCCUCACAAAUAUAUGUUGUGGUCUUUGCAAUUGUAGCUACUACGAAUACCUUGACUGCAAAUAAUGAUCCCUUGGUGAUAGAGCUAUUUCUCUCGAGGCCAACCAUACAGGAAACUAAACCAAAACAAGAAUAAUGAAGAAGAAGACUUUGUGGAUGAAAAGGACAUUCUUCCAUUACCGAAAGAAACAUUCCCCACACAAGACAACAUGGACAUCACCAAAGUCGAAGAACAAGGUGAUGGUGGGGAUAAACCACACCAAGGAUCUCCGGAGACAUCCUUGUCACUAGAGAUAAAUGGCUCAAGGCCAUGUGGCUAGUAAUAAGCAUUAACAUAAAUGAAUAUUUCUUUCAUUUUUUAAUUUCUGAGUGUAGAUAGGCCAAUGGUAGUGUAUGACAGUGACAACAGAAGCCUUGAAGACCAUGGUGUGCUUCCACCCCCUUUUCCAGAGGGAAGGGGCUUCACUCCAUUUACUUUUAUGGAGUUGCUUGACAACUUUUUUAUAGUAAAGUAAGAUAAUUGAAAAUUGAGCUAUUUGAAAUUGAACUAACGUUUGCAUAUAGAUUGUUGAAGCGUCAACAACAAUACAUUGAUGCCACCAAUGCAUUUAAUAAAGCUAUUUAGUUAACCACUCAGGAUAAUGUCAACUUUAUUAUGCUGCAGCAUGAAGAGGUUUUUGCCUUACAAGAUGCCAUCACAGCCUUUGAGGUGAGGGACAAGGGGAUGCUGAAGUUCUCUCACAAGUGUAGUGGCUAAAACACAAACUUCUUGAUUGCUUUGGUGUUGAGAGCAUAAGUGAUGAGAAGAUGCUAAAUGUUGUUGUUAAACACCCUAAGUUCUAUUGGGCUGGUGGUGAAAUAUUUCUUUGGCACGUGCUUUUUAGCCAAGCCAUGCCUCAUUGGCAGGAUUGGGAGAGUGUUCUCCUUUAGCUUUGCCUUUCAAAAACACAGUACGAGAGUGUGUUUUGUAACAACACAAUCCAAUAGCUCUUUGUUGAAGGAAGUAUCAAUAUGCCUCUUUCAAUUGUUGAGUCCACAAUAGCAUGGUUCAUUAAGAAGUGGUACAUAUAUGUAUUUCUUAACAUUUAGUACCAUUUUAUUGUUUUGUGCAGGGACCUAUGUCGGAAUUGGGUGGCUACAGAACAAUUGAGAGAAUUAUUUGACACUAUUGAAACACUGUAUUGUAAGUUCUCCCAUUUUUGCAUCAAGAGGGCCAUGCUUCAGCCAUGCUUAUACACAUUUGAGGCCAUCUCACAUUCUAGUAAGCAAUGGAUUGCCUAUGAAUUGGAGUUCCCUCACUUGUCCUUCCAAAUUGCACCAAACAAUGAAUUCAGUUGUUUCCAAUUCACCUUCAAUACUAACCUACACACAUUGAAUUACAAAGUGGUCUAUGUGUCUGAGAUUGGAGGAGCUUUGGUGUGGGAGGAAGCCACAAUAGAUGUAGAUGGGCCACAUGCAAAAGCCAUUAAGGAAGCUAUUUGCCAAAUUCCAAGAUUAGUAAGUCUAAUUUUCACUUGGCUUACUACAAACGCAUGGAUUAUUUGUGCUUAGGGAAUGAACUACGUAUUGGCAUCCCAAGAUGCUAGUGCAUUCUAGGAUGUUGCAACAAGAAAAGUGGGAUGUGGUAAGUUAAGUUUUAAGCACAAGUUUUAUAUGCUCCUCAUUUCUAUAUGCACAGGCUGUUUUUGUGGGCUGGUUGCUAUUCCAAGCAUUUAAAUGUAAUACAUAGAUAUCUCACGAGUGUACAAUUGCAACAUUGGCAAUUGCAGCUAGAGAGGUUCUAGAUGAGAAUGACUGAUGACUUGCCUAAGGAGGACUAUAUGAGAUGGACCUCAAGGCAUGCGUGCUGCAUAUCUAGAAUGCACUCAACCAAUUGCAAGGUGCAUCAAACCUAAAGAAGUCAUUAACUACCUGAUCUUUGAUCAGGACUUUGGAGAGAACUUCCGUAGCUAGAUUGUGGACAUCAUUCAAGGUAAUUAUUUACUUUCACAAAAAAUUAAAACUCUUGUAUGUUUGAACAUUUUAUAGAUGUGAGCCUGAAAGAGUUAUCCAAGUUCCACCACUUUGUAGUUGAUUCUCCAGAGUUCUGACUGAGAGAGCCUAUUUGGAUCCAAGUUGAGAGACAAGGUACAUCAUCUACUCGAUUUCCUAGGCUCUCCACAUGCACACGAGAAGUUUUCUUCCUUUUAACAUACCCAUCAAUGGAAUGGACCAAACACAAGAUCCACCAGACACUCCAAAAUCCAAAGGGCUUAUAUGGAUUGGGCUAAUGUUGUGGAAGUACCAUAUCCACAAUAAAAUAGAUAAUUGUCUUGAAAUAUGUUUCACACUUUGAAAGAGACUCUUUCCAGUUCAUUGGUGAAAUUAAAGGUAAGAAUAUUCAAAAUAUUCCAUAAAUGCACUUGCAACCCUUAGUACCCUUUUGGCUUAUACUUGCCUCACCAAGGGUAACUUCCAAAACAACUCCCAAUUUAGGAUUUGGGUCAAAACUAUCAAGCUUGGGUGCUAUAUGAUGCCUAUCCUCAGUUAAGGAACUCUUAACUUAUUUUAUAAUAGAACCAAAAUCACCCUUUGAGUUUGUGAACUCGUCCUUGCUUGCAUCUUAAGCAAUAACAUAUCUCUCAUUGUUGAUUUCUUCAAUAGGACCUUUCCCCUCGGUGAUUGGCACAACAUUAGAAGUAGUUUUGGGCUGCCUUGUCAGAAGGAUUGUCGAGCCUUGAGAAGAGGAGGCAUCAUAUAGAAUCCUUAGUCCUAUCCCCUGUUGGAUCCAUUGUUGUGCCUCAAAGAAGUUAGAAUCCUCUUCAAUUUGCCAUGCUAGGAGGAAACCUAGAAACCUCAAACAUUGCAAAAGGGUUGGAGCAUAUAGGAAACUGUCACAAAUUUACUCUUAUCAAAGUGAGCAUGAGCUUCCAAUCCCUGAAAACUCUAGUUUUUCAGCCGUAGCACAACAUACAUUGGAUAGUUUUGCCCCAUGCUUGAAAACCCUUUUUACAAAUUUUAAAAUUUGAAACGGUUAUAAUUGGAAAAUGUUGAAAGUGUCAAUUAUUAUUGCUCUUCUCACCUGAAUGUUACUGCAUGUAAUUGCAACUUCCAUAUUCUCAAAUCUCUUUUAACAAGCUCCUCUUGAGAAAACUCUAGGUUCAAUUUGAAACAAUUAUAAUUGGAAAAUGUUGAAAGUGUCUAUUGUUAUCCUGAAUGUUACUACAUACAAUUGUAACUUCCACAUUCUCAAAUCUCCUUCAGCAUGCUCCUCUUGAGAAAACUCCAAGUCCAAACAUCAACACUAUGCACCUUUGUGUAGUAUAUAAUUGAAGUAUGAGCCCCACCAAUUCAUCAAAUUAGUUAGACUUCAACUUACUUUUGAAUCAUAUGCAAAUUUUCUAAGCAUCAUGGUACAAAACUAAAGUGUUAAGAGAGCUACACUAGAAAUUAAUGGCAACGAAAGAUAAACUCAAUGGGAUGCAUUAGAGAUAUGACUCCAGACAAUAUAUAUCUAUGGCUUUGCAAUGGAGCUUGAUAGAGUUCACUUACACUUGCUAUAAACACUAUGUUAAAAGAGGUGUGCCAAAAAAGGAUAAUUCAAUUCUUUUGCCAUGAGCGCCAAGAGCAAGAUGUGAGAACAUAACGCUCUAGAUAAGGUAAUAUAGUAUGCAAUUUGGUCGAUUGUCCAUUUGGUUUGCAACAUUAACAACUUAUACAUGGGAUGAAUGGAUCUAUGGGCCAAAAAACACAGAUAUAGAAUAUUUUACGAAUAUCCAAUCCUUAUGCGGGGCAUCAUGCCCAUAGCAAUGACCUAUGCUAUGUACUCAUAAUACACGUGGACCAAUAGCAAGCAUACAUGUGGUGUGAGUGAAAUCCACCAUUGUAAAAUCCACCCUUUAACAAAUUGCACACCAUAAACGCACCCCUCUCUAAUCAAACUGCAUCAAUGGCAUCCCUAUGAGCUUUUGCUGCUCUCUCCGUGCUCCUUGUUGAAAUGGUGGCAGUGUCAUGGUGGAAGCUCAGGGGUCGUGUGCAAACAGGCCCUGUUGUGGUGGCAGAGGUGUCUGCAACUCCGGCCUGCGCUGCAACCAGUUUGGCUUCUGUGCAGUGUCAAACGAUUACUGUAGCGUGGGCUGCCGGUACAGUAGCUGCUUCUGAAUUGCAGUGCAACUGUAAAAGGACACCCCUUGCAACAUGAAAGUUGCAAAUAAUAGCUCUCUUCUAUAAUUCAUGUAGCGUGACCAAAAGUUUGUUUUCCAGGUUGUCAUGAAGUAGAAUCCUUUCCUCGUGUUACUGUCAUAUUAGCACAGAUUAAGUGUUAAGUGGUGAUUCUAAUUAAGUUUUCAACAAGUUGCUUCCUCCAGGAGAUCGACUGGCCUUGGAUUUGUUAUAGCUGAUUUUAAGCCGGAGGAGAUUGAGGAAGCGGACUGGAAGGAUGCAUGGAAGCGUGUCUUAUGAAGUUCCUAUCAAUAACCCUUGUGAUCCAUUAUAAUUGAUCACACCACUUAGAUCCUUCAAAAUUUCUUCAUAUCUUGUACUAGAGCACACUUUUAUGAAAUCUUGCGCCUCGAGUCAAUCUGCUCGUAGAAAGUGUACAAACUCACAAGAUCGAAAGCUACUACCUUGGAUUUGUUGUAGCCGAUAUUAAGGAGAUACUUGCUGUGCUUGGCCUCACUCCACUCCUCCUUGGCUAGCUGCUGGAAAUUGCAUCUCUCCAAAACCUGUGAGCGAGAAUCUCAAUCAAUCAUAUAACAAACUCACCACUAGAUCCUUCAAAGUUUCUUCAUUUGUAUUGUUCAUCACCAAGCACACCUCUAUGCAAUCUCGCCGCUCCUAGACUCGAUCUGUUUGGGGAGAUCAUGUCACAUGAAACUGCAACCGAUUGCGGAUGGUAUUCGAGAAUUCGAGAGAGAUUCCUGUCACGUUUAGCAAGAGUUAUUUACGUACAAUCUAAGAACUGACAAAGGACUUAAUGGCAGAUUUUGGAGCGAGUUCUCUCUUGCAACAUCUCCAGCGUCUCCUGCGCGCUGCUCGGGCAGUGGAUCAUCCCAUUCGCACGCCACGCGAUCUGGAGCUCCUCCAACUUCCGGACCGCGUCCUCGAUCUCGAAAUCGCAGGGCAGAUCCACCUCGCUAAUGAGUACUGCCUCGCAUUGUCUCUUGAGCUCCUACGUACGGUAAAUCCAAAGAUCACGCUCGCCCAAAACGUGUUCUUGGAGCUCCUUACCUCGGGUUUAGAGGCUGCAUUGUGCUUGAGCAAUCCAAAGAAGGCCACGACUGCCUCGUUCACCUGGAAAGUUAUGGAUUUCUAUGUAAGAACUCAUGUUCUAAGCAAUAGAAUCUUAUAGAAACACCAUACCUCUUGCUGAAGAACACUGUCACACAGGCAAAGCAGUGUCGCUGGGCCAGUAUCACGUUGUUUCUCAUAGAUCUCCUUGGAGAUCAGCUUCCCAUACUCAAGAACGUUGUUCUGGAAACUAGAAAACCAAGAAAACAUCGUCAACUUUGCGAUGAACUUUAGACUAUACUUACGUGUAGUAAACCUUGAAGGAAUAGCUAAGAAUCACAGCAAGGAUUGAGAGGCCAAGCUUGACGCUGGAUCGACCAAAUGCUUCCCAGAGACCAACCUAGAUCUCAUUGUUUUGAUGUAAAGUAUUUGGGCAAUCUUUGCUUACACUGGCAGCCACCGCAGAGAUUGCAAGCUUAAACCACUCGAUUUUUCCCAAGUGAGGUGUGGUUUUUUCGGGCUGGCAAAGAAAGAUUUUGUCAAUGCAGAUGAUCAUAUAACUUGAAAUUUCUUGGAGCUCUUGUGAUUUCUUACCACAACUAUUUCCAAGUCGGCCAUUGGGAUAUCUUUGAAGUGUCUAACGUGAAUGCCAUAUGUGUACUCUUGCUUUCUCAAUCUAAAAUAUUUUUGAAUCUAAAUAUAAAUGUUUCAUAAAUUUUUACCUGUACACAACCACAACUUGGCUAAAUGUUGGUUCUUGUAGCUGCACUUUCUGGAAGAAAUUCCUUAUCCUGUUUAUAAUCCAUUAUUAGCUUAAGACAAAGCUAGAGAGCGUAGGAAUUGAAGACCCACUUAAUAUCCUCAAUGUGGAUUCUCUCAACGUACUGUAUUUUGUAUUCUCCUUCUUCAAUGUCCCCUGGCGCCAAUUCCAUUGGCGAGCUUUUGCUCCAUUUCGAUGUCCAACUGAUUCACCAAUGUAUCAUAAGUUUAAUUGGAACUUAAAAUAUCUUACAAUGAUUCCAGUAGAGUUCUCCACAAGCUCCACCAUAACACGCUAAGCUUUGGCAUAAAAUAGAAUCCUUUCGAGGUGUCGAUCCCAACACCCCGGUGGUAAAUCAAAAACUGCGAUAUUAUUAGCAUCGAUGAAGUAGUGGUUAAUAGUGACAAACUUACUAAGUUCUCAAACACGUUGUUUCCCCCAGGAGCAUUUUGUAGCAACUGGUUGUCUAGCUUUGAUAGUUUGAUAGAAAUAAUUGAUCAAACUAGAAAGAAAAAAACUCACAAGAUCACAUUUUUAGUACCUUGGAUUUGUUGUAACCGAUUUUAAACCGGAGGAGAUACUUGCUGUGCUUGGCCUCACUCCACUCCUUCUCGGUUAGCUGCUGGAAAUUGCAUCUCUCCAAAACCUGUCCAUAAAAUCGAUUAAAAACCCAAUCGAUUUGGUAGUUGGUGUGUGCAUAGAUCUUGAUCAUACGCUGUGGAAGCUCUCGAGGAACUUCUUCUCUAAAUCCCUCACACCAGGCUCCGAGUCCUUGAGCUUGUUGGUUGCGUCCGUGGGAUGGAAGCGUGUCUUGUGAAGUUCCUAUCAUGGUAACUCAGACCAAUUCAUGAUAAUGGAUCGCAAGCUCACCAAAAGAUCCCUUGAAGUUUUUUCAUUCAUCUUGGUGAUGUCGUCUCUCAUCACGGAGCACACAUCUAUGAAAAAUUGUGGCUCCUCGAGUCGAUCUGUUCGUGGAGAUCAUGAUCAUGUCACACAAACUAUAGCAAAACCGACUGAUACCAGCUAGUUUUUGCACCAAAGUGGUGGUGUCGAUCAUAAUCGCUGGUCCUCGCCGGACUCGCACCAAUCUAGAAGACAUUACACAAGAUAGAAAUCGUGAGUUCUCAAGUAAGUACAACCAGAUCUAUACUACAAGGAUCGGAGCUUUCGCUACUACAAGCAAAACUUUUCAGUAGAUUAAUUCCUACUUAAUCUCAAAGCUAGCUGAAUAUUCCAGUGCUAGUAUUAGAUUAGAAGUAAAGAUUCCAGUCGAUUCUCCCACAAACCGCGCUAAAACUGACGGCUCAGAUCCGCCAAGUUAAACAAAGAUUCCCGCGCUAAAUCCGACGGCUCAGAUCCAUAGAGCCUUUAACGCCCGCUAAAACCGAGGGCUCAGAUGGGCCAGAUCGAUGGCCAUCUAUCCAACGGCUGGGCGCUGCUUUUUCUAGAAUGUUCCUAAGAACCAAGCCGGCCGUUUAAAAGUUCUUGUGUAGGGCUAGGGAAGAAGAGAGAGAGAGCUUUAGCUAUGGCAAAGGAAGGUCCGGCUGUCGGCAUUGAUCUGGGAACGACGUAUUCUUGCGUCGGUGUGUGGCAGCAUGAUCGAGUGGAGAUCAUCGCGAAUGAUCAGGGUAACAGGACGACGCCAUCGUAUGUGGCCUUCACCGACACGGAGCGGCUCAUCGGCGAUGCCGCGAAGAACCAGGUCGCCAUGAAUCCCAUCAACACUGUCUUCGGUGAGUUCCUAGUAGAUCUAGCUCUCGAAAAUCGCGGCUCUAGGAUCUAGUUUCAUGUUUCCUUCGAAAUCUUAGAUCUAGGAUCUAGCUUGCAUCUAACUUGCCCGAGAUAGCUGAAAGUUGAGCUUUUUCUUCCAGAUGCCAAGCGUUUGAUCGGGCGGCGAUUCUCGGACUCUUCAGUCCAGAGCGACAUCAAGCUAUGGCCUUUCAAGGUUACUCCUGGCGCUGCCGAGAAGCCGAUGAUCACUGUCCACUACAAGGGCGAGGAGAAGACGUUCGCGGCCGAGGAGAUCUCUUCCAUGGUGCUGACCAAGAUGAAGGAGAUUGCCGAGGCCUUUUUGGGCGCCACUGUGAAGAACGCGGUCAUCACGGUGCCCGCCUACUUCAAUGACUCGCAGAGGCAGGCUACCAAGGACGCUGGUGUCAUCUCGGGCAUGAACAUCAUGCGGAUCAUCAACGAGCCCACCGCCGCGGCCAUCGCUUAUGGUCUAGACAAGAAGGCGACGAGCGCCGGUGAGAAGAACGUCCUCAUCUUCGAUCUGGGUGGUGGAACGUUCGACGUGUCGCUGCUAACGAUCGAGGAGGGGAUCUUCGAGGUGAAGGCCACGGCCGGAGAUACUCACUUGGGUGGCGAGGACUUCGACAACCGGAUGGUGAACCACUUCGUCCAGGAGUUCAAGCGCAAGUAUAAGAAAGAUAUCAGCGGCAAUCCCCGGGCACUGAGGAGGCUGAGGACUGCUUGCGAGCGCGCGAAGAGGACGCUCUCGUCCACUGCCCAGACGACGAUCGAGAUCGACUCUCUCUUCGACGGCAUCGACUUCAACACCACCAUCACCCGGGCCAGGUUCGAGGAGCUCAACAUGGAUUUGUUCCGCAAGUGCAUGGAGCCAGUGGAGAAAUGCCUGAGGGACGCGAAGAUGGACAAGAGCAGUAUCCACGACGUUGUGCUCGUUGGCGGCUCCACCCGGAUCCCGAAAGUCCAGCAGCUUCUCCAGGACUUUUUCAACGGCAAGGAGCUGUGCAAGAGCAUCAACCCCGACGAGGCAGUGGCGUAUGGAGCGGCCGUCCAGGCGGCGAUCCUCAGCGGCGAGGGCAACGAGAAGGUCCAAGACCUCCUUUUGCUGGACGUGACGCCGCUCUCGCUGGGGCUGGAGACCGCCGGAGGAGUGAUGACGGUGCUCAUCCCGCGGAACACCACCAUCCCGACGAAGAAGGAACAGGUGUUCUCGACGUACUCGGACAACCAGCCUGGAGUGUUGAUCCAGGUGUACGAGGGCGAGCGGACGAGGACCCGGGACAACAAUCUCCUUGGCAAGUUCGAGCUCUCCGGGAUCCCUCCGGCUCCCAGGGGUGUCCCGCAGAUCACGGUGUGCUUCGACAUCGACGCAAACGGCAUUCUCAACGUCUCGGCCGAGGACAAGACGACUGGGCAGAAGAACAAGAUCACCAUCACCAACGACAAGGGCCGGCUGAGCAAGGACGAGAUCGAGAAGAUGGUGUCCGAGGCCGAGAAGUAUAAGUCCGAGGACGAGGAGCACAAGAAGAAAGUGGAGGCGAAGAACGCGCUGGAGAACUACGCCUACAACAUGAGGAACACGAUCAAGGAUGACAAGAUCGCCGGGAAGUUGGAGGCUGAUGACAAGAAGAAGAUCGAGGAGGCGGUGGAGCAGGCGAUCCAGUGGCUGGAUCAGAACCAGCUGGGCGAGGCGGAUGAGUUUGAGGACAAGAUGAAGGAGCUGGAGAGUAUCUGCAACCCGAUCAUUGCGCGGAUGUACCAGGGCGCUGGCGGAGCUCCGGGUGAUAUGCCCAUGCCGGGCGCUGGAGCGUAUCCGGGCGGAGGUGGCGGUGGCGGCGCUGGGGCUGGUGGCGCUGGGCCCAAGAUUGAGGAGGUUGAUUAAAGCCACACGAGGUUUUUUUUUUUUCUCUUGUUGUGGCAAACUUUGAUUGGAUCGAUUCUAUAAUGCUAUGAUGGCAAUCCAUUUUUCUUUCCAUGGGAGGUGGUCGCUCAUUGGCUGCUCGAGCAAGUGUUUCACAGAUAAAACAACGUCGUGUUGGACGCAGGGCAUGGUAGGGUGGCUGCUCUCUCGCUUGCACCAGAGAUAUCUUCGCUGCAAAUGUGGGAGGAUUGAACGAUGCAUAGCUGGUCUUAAACUUGAUUGGUCCACCUGCCAUACGAUGAUGCUGGUAUAACGAGCACAGCAGCAACUGGACCUCUUGGAGGAGAUGUUGGCACUGGCUCACCAUUGUUGCUGCUGUCAGGAUUCACAAUUCCAACAUCCAAGUGGGAAUGCCAAAGAGAUCAUUGAAAUCCAUGGAGCAAACAACGCUUUGGAACGAAGCGAAGAAUUUAAAGCCACACACCACACAUGCAUCGAUUGGAAUAAAGUAAACAUUAUAAAUUGAAAUUUUUAAAAACCGUUUUAGCAAAUUGAUUUUUGUUGUUAUUAUCUUUUCCAUACAAUUCACAAAAAAUCUUAGAAUUCACAAUAAAUGAAAUUUAAAUGAAAUGUUGGUGGAUUUGUGAGUGCAUGGAAUAUAGAAAGGGAAUACAGAAAUGUGCAUAUCAAUUAACCCAAAAACCCUAGCUUAUAUACAGGAGCGAGUGGUCCAGAUUGAAACCAAUCCGACGGCUACCAAAAUCCACUACGCUAAUAUUAGUAUACGGCAUCGUAGCCGUACACUUGGCCCUCACAUCAUCCCCUCCUCUCGGAAUAAUGGAAGGCCGUCAGGGUUCUCUUGUAGAUGGGCCGGGAUCUGGAGGAACGUCAGGAGGAGGCAUCGGUGGAUCUGUAGACGGUAUUAAUUGCUCCUGAUCCCUCUGUAUGAAGCGUUUUAACCGCUGCACAUGCACAAUCUCCGGAGGAUUAGCCUGCUGAACGUCAUGCCGAACCUCAUAAACUUGUGGUCCAACUUGCCGCAACACCCGAUACGGUCCUUUCCACUGCACAAGGAGCCCCUUAGAUAAACCACGUACCGUAAGAUGGGGAAAACGGACUAACACCAAAUCAUCCACUUUGUACUCCGCUGGUGGACGAUGAUGGGAAUUGUAGCGCCGUUGUUGUCCCACUUGUACGCGGCCUAAGUGUUCAGCAGACUCUGCUCGGACAAGUGGAAGAAUGCUUGUCAAAUAUUGAUCCCAUGACCUAGCAUCAGGAGCUCGUGGCAAUUGCGAAGGUAAACCUAGCUCUGUUGGUAAUAUUGGAUCAUGACUAUAUAGAAGUUUAUAUGGUGAAGCACCAACAGAACUCUGCACCCCUAUGACACCGAAGAGACGGCAAAUAACCAUCCCAAUCCGAAUGUUGAAAGUUCACAUACUUCGCAAUCAUCCCUUUGAAUGUUCGAACGAGCCGUUCCACCAGAUCGUCUGAUUGUGGAUGAUAAGCACUCGUAAAAGUGUGGCGUAUCCCCAACCGAGAUGUCAAAACAUGAAAUACCUCAGCCAUAAAUGCAGGACCAUUAUCCGAAAGAAUCCGUUCUGGACAAGAAUGCUGGAACACCACUCGAUUGAGGAGGAAGUAUCCAACAGCAGUUGCAGAGGCACUAGCAAGAGCACCAACUUCCACCCAACGAGUCAAGUAGUCAGAAGCAAUAAUAACAUACUCAUUGCCAGUAGUCGAUCGCAGAAAAGGUCCUAUAAGAUCAAAUGCCACCAACUCAAACGGACGAGAAACUGCAAUUGACUCCAACCGUCCUUCCGCAGCACAAGGGAGAGUAUUACGAGCUUGGCACCAAACGCAGCUACGCACAUACCGGAUAAUAUCACGUUGCAUCUCUGGCCAAUAGAAAGAUCUGCGCAACUUCUCGGUGACACGACGGUGUCCCAUAUGCCCACCUAGAAUAGGAGAAUCAUGGUAGGCAUGGAGAAACCGCGGAAUAAACACCGAAGGCACCACCAGCCGUAAAUGAGCAUCAGGAUCCGUCCCCACAAAAUAAAGAAGGCCAUCUUCAAGGCGAUAUUGAGAAUGUAAAUGCCAAAAAGGCAAGUCAUCAGCAAGUGAUGCAGGAUUCUCAAACCCAUCUCGAAGCCUUCGAAUCCACGGCUCAAUCUUUUGAGCCUCGCGAACCUCAUCCAGAGAAGGUAGAUCUUGCUCUACACCCUGUGGACACUGAACGUCAAGGACAGCAACCGCCGACGGCACAGAAUCCUCAUCUAGAAAAUCCACAGAUGCUGGAACAACAGGUUUGUCAGAAACAUGAGAAGUGAGUGGAGAAGGAAGAGGAGCUCGAGAAAGGGCAUUAGCAUCAGCCAUAGAACUCCCUGGGCGAUGAACAACAUCGAAAUCAUAUAUCUGAAGCUUCAAAGCCCAUCGAGCCGUACGACCAACCAGGUUCUUCCGCUUCAAUAAUGAAGUAACAGCAGCAUGGUCACCUUCAAGUAACGUCCGAGAACCAUGUAGAUAGGCAUGAAGUUUCUCGAAACCCCAGACUGCUGCUAAACACUCCUUCUCCGUCGUGGAGUAGUUCAUCUCCGCUGGUUGUAAUGUACGGCUUAUGUAUGCAAUGGGAUGGCGCUGACCAGGCACACUCGAGCUCUCUUGCAUCAACACACCUCCAAGACCAAUGUCAGAAGCAUCCACGCGCAAAAUAAAAGGUCGAGUGUAGUCAGGAUAUGCCAAAACCGGAGGAGUCGUCAAUAGCUCUUUGAGAUUCACGAACGCCCGCUCACAAUCGGGAGACCAGAUGACAGAUGACGUUGAUGACUUCAGCAACGCUCGCAAUGGUAAAGUGCGAUCGGAAAGAUGAUCCACAAAACGACCGAGAUACUGCACCUUACCCAAAAAGCGCUGCACAUCAUUCACACACUUCGGAGUAGGGAACUUUAGAACAGCCACAAGUUUGUCAGGAUCAACUUGCAAACCCUCACGAGAAAUACGGUACUCAAGAUAAGUUGUGUCCUUGGACCCAAACACGCACUUCGACCACUUCAGCUUUAAACCAACGUCGCGUAGCCGAUCCAACACUUUACAAACAUCAAGAACAUGCUCCUCCCACGUCCCCUCCGAGUGGAUCAAGACAUCAUCAAUGAAGUCAGCCGUCACCUCCGGCAUAUCGCAAAGAACCUCGUCCAUCAUUCGCUGAAAAGUUGCUGGAGCAUUGUUCAAACCAAACGGCAUCACCAAAAACUCGUACAAACCAAAUGGUGUACGAAAAGCAGUCUUAGGAAUAUCGUCUUCAGCCAUCGGUACUUGCCAAUACCCAGAAGCAAGAUCUAGCUUGGUGAACCAACAACUUCGCCCCAGACGAUCCAAGAGAUCAGCAGUGUGAGGAAGAGGGUACACGUCCGGGAUCAUCACUUCAUUUAACGGACGAUAGUCGAUGCAGAAACGAAUACUCCCAUCAGGCUUCGUCACAAGAUGAGGUUCACAUGCCCAAGGACUCCGCGACUUCCGAAUAACACCCUUCUCCAACAUCUCCUUGACGUUUGCACGUAAAAUCUUGAUCUCCUUGGGUGACCGACGACGAACAGGAACCUUGAUUGGACGAGCAUCCCCGGUUGGAAUGGGAUGACGUGUGGCAAUCUUGGCCCCAGACGAUAGGUCAAAUUCAAAGAGAUCAGAAUACUCCUUCAUGAGUUGGUCAACAGCUGCAACACAAAGAUCAUCGGAGGGAUCGGAAAAGGGAAGAGCAGAACAAGAUGGAAACACAAGAGGAAAUAAUGGGGGAACAAAAGUAAUGGAAGCAGAGGUAGAAGUAGAGGGACGAAGAGGUACAGAAGUGAGAGGAAUGGAUGAAACAUAAGGAAGUAUGAGACAAGGGGGAAAAGCCUCAAAGUCACACUUGGCAUGAUUGUGCUGCAACCAAUCCAUACCAAGAAUGAGGUCAAAAGCUUGACUCGGCACCACCCGCAACGACUGCAACUCAAGCUCGAGAUCGCCCACACGCACAACCAGGUCCGCCUCAUCUCGUGCACAUGCAUGUGUACGGCCGUUGCCAUAAAGAAUGAAAACUGGAUCCGCCGCACGACGCAAGUGUAGACGACAAUGUGUGGCAACAGGUCGAGCAAUAGAAGAUAAACUCGAACCUGUAUCAACCAACACGGAGAGAAGAAUAUGAGACCUCUUGUUAUAAAAACGAGCUUGGAAAGUAAACACUGGAUGAACCGGUGCCGAGUGAACCCCUUGAUGAUACUCCCGAAAGAAAGAUGGAGGGGUCACUAACUUAUUCGCGCAAGGUCCCUCCAUUACUCGCGCGACUCCUCGUUUCCCGAAUGCACCUUGGUAUCCAAACCUUCCACCGCAGCAGCACCAACGGGACGUUGCUGACGCCAAGGUCUCCACCCAGGAAAUGGAGGUCGCCAAUCCGGAAAGCGCCGACAACGCCGAUAAGUAUGACCAACUUCAUCACACGCCCAGCAACGAAUGUCACGGCCACGACCACGUCCUUGCCCUUGUCCUUGGACUCGAGUAGCAGCAGCAUCAACCUCCAUGGGAACAGGACUAUCACUCAUAGGAAGUGGAGCUGAAGGACGUGUAGCAAGAAGUGGAAGAGGCGACGUCUCAUAACGUUGUGCCAAGCGAAGAGCAUCGUCAAGAGUGGCAGGAGCAAGUGCAUGCACAAGUCCGACAAGAUCUUGACGAAGUGCUGGCCACAGCAUUCCUAGCUUGAUCCGCUCCGACAUAUUUGGCUCCGCACGAAGCAAAAGACUUCGGAAACAAACGCCAAAUUGCAUCACCGACUCAGAUGGCCCUUGGCGAAGACGAUGCAAUUGUUGGAAGGCAUCAUCACAAUUGUCGGCGUGUCCGAAGGCGCGUUUGAAGACGCCCGGAAGAACACUCCAAUCGCCACGAGUAGCUGCGCUCAAUCCAUUGUACCACUGCAAUGCCGUCCCUUGAAGACAUGUGGGGAACUCACGCAAACGUCGAGCAUCAUCCCAAGAAUGAUAUGUGGCAAUCACCGUGAAGUGAUCGAACCAAUGGUACACAUCAUCCCCAGGAUUCCCACGAAAGAACUCCGGCCGAACGAGAGGAUUGGCACCAAAAGCAGGAGGAGUUGUACCAUGUGCCGUGAACGCCGCCAUCAACUGAGUUUGGUUGUUCAAUUGCAGGCACAUAGCAUCAAGCAAUUGAACCAACUGCUGCUCUAGAGUCAAAGGAGGAGAUUGCGGAUCGGCCAUGAAAAUGAAUGAGAAAGAAAGAGCAAAAGAAGAGAAAUGACAAAAAGCUGGAAAGAAAUGGUAGAUCUAGACAAUGCAAAAAGCUAGAUAUAAACCAAAAUCCUGAAAGGAAAGAACAAAAGAAAGGAAAUGGAAAAAGCUAGAUCUAGACAAUGCAAAAGCUAGAUCUAAACCGAAAUCCCAAAUCCAAGCACUCCCCAGGGACAAUCAAAGUUGCCCCUCACCUCCACCAAUGUGAGUGCAUGGAAUAUGGAAAGGGAAUACAAAAAUGUGCAUAUCAAUUAACCCAAAAACCCUAGCUUAUAUACAGGAGCGAGUGGUCCGGAUUGAAACCAAUCCGACGGCUACCAAAAUCCACUACGCUAAUAUUAGUAUACGGCAUCGUAGCCGUACACUUGGCCCUCACAGAUUGAAAUUUUUUUAAAAAAUUAAAACUUAAAUUUUAAGGCCUUAGGCCAUUGAACAAAAGAAUAAACUUAAACUUUUAAAUAUAAAACCUCUCGCAGUAGAGCGGCAGUGAUUUCUCGGAAGGGAGCUCCAGCUGCUACUUCUUGACGAUCUUCUUUUGCGACUGUGAGCACCAGCUAAAGGAGGUGAACGUCAUGAGAACGAUCUGCUCAUCAGUGAAGGACAUAGGAGUGGAUGAGAGGAACUUAUGGCGGUGACUUUGAAGCUCCUGGAUCACUGUUGAGGGGACACUUGCAGGAGAUGGUCACGUCUUUGACACACCGGUUUGAUUCGCUUCUCGAAAGGACCCCGCCGAGCGCUGUGUCCGGUGAAACUUGAAAUGGCCGCCAGCCUCGUAAAACAGCAGCUUGACGUCGAGCUCCAGAGCAGUGGAAUCCAGCCCGAGUCCAGCAGUCGCGAGCGACGGACGAGAAUAAGUUUGGCACCUCUGGGCCGGGAUUGAUCUGCCAACCUCAUCCGUGACUCUCUCCAAGGCCGUGUGGAGCUCGGACAGAUCGCCAUUGGAAACACACUACAAACUUUCUAGGGUUUAUCAGCAAUUCAACGGUCAGAUUUUAGUAUAUUCUAACGCACUAAAUUCUUAGAAUAUUCUUAUUUAAAGAAUAUACUUUAGUGCAGAUUGCUAUCAGUAGUAUCCUUCUUCCAGAUUGAUUCAAUGCGGCCUUAUUGAAUGAAGUUUAUACUUACAUGUGGCGCACCGAGACUACCAGAUAGAAUGCCAAUGCGUCAUUCCCACUCCCCCCAAUCCUGAGAUAUAGAAAACACACACAAAAAAAAACUAGAGCUUUGACGAUGGCAAAAGCUAAAACGAUGUGUACCUCGUCUGUAGUUUCUCCAGUCUUGCGUUUCGCAGCAUCCUGAGGAUGAUCCUCGUUCUUUGCGUCCUUCUUCUCACUGCGAAGUAACGAAAGGUUUUGCCAGAUUCGAUCGAUACACGCGAAUGGAGGGUCGUCCUUUACCUGUGAAGUGAGGAUUGUGGAGUAUCAGAGGCCAAAGUUUCCCUGUCUUCUUGAACGACAAGCCACUCGCUGCUUGUGCUGUUGUCACUCCUGACUUCAUCCUCUGUGACGCUCUCUGCAAAUGCGAAAUCAACGGGAGUAAAAGGCGGAGAUGUUGCUUGCACCUCUUGGAAGCGCUGGAGUGUUGGGACUGAGGUCAUCCUCUGGAACACGCUGGCUCUGAUCAUUUUCUUCGUCAACUUCCCAGCUCAGAUCUUCCUCCACGGCAUUUGCUCCUGCGCAACGAGUGAGUAUCAUAUGAAAAACUCCUACGCUUACUCUUAACAAGGUCUGCUCUAGCAUCCUCCGCUUGCUGUAGCUUAUUCACGCGAUAGAAAUAACGGGUCCAGAAUGUCUCGUGGUCGACGCUCGUCGGAACUGGCAGAAAGCAUCGUCAGGUCGUGUGUCAAAGGCAUAGCAAGCCCACCUAUUCUCGCAUGAAUCUCUUGAAUAAAAGGAUUCUCUUCCAUUAGAAGUUCUACUUCACCUUUCCUGCCAUUAAGACUCAGUCGAUCCGUCGCUCAAUUGCUUAAGAAAAACUCACCUGUUAUCGAGAUCGAAGGUUGAUUUCCAAACGGCAUAGUCCUCUCGAUCCUCUGGUUCCUCGCAGUACGUGCUGUUGUCACACUGCAGUGCAUGAAGCUGGAAGGAAGAAAAGCGUCAGAAUUGGAAUCUUACGGAAAAAGCAACUUACUUGAGCCUCGUAUCUUCUGUACAUCCCCUUCCUUGAAAAAAAGACAGUGAUUGUUUAACAUACGAAACAGCGAAACGUACCCGCUGGAAAGAGGGGUGGAGCUAGCCUCUGAAUUUUCAGUAACAUCCUCGUCCACUUUUUUCACAGCUUCCUUCACUUGGCCGAUAAGGUCCGCUGUUCUGCCAGGAAAUAGUGUCAGGGCAAUCUUAGAAACAAGCAGCGCUUACCCUCGCCAAACCGAGCUUCCAAAAUCUUCUAGUUUCUGGCCAACAGCUUCAAGUGAUUCCUGAGCAGCCAAGCUCCAUCAAAAAUCGUUUUGGUAGAAAGCUUUUCGAUUUUACCUGAGCAACAGCAGCAGUGCUUUCCAAGGAAAUUGGGAGAUCCUUCACGGCAUGAGCUGUGACCUCCGCAGCAACAGUUGUCUCGCGCUUUAAUCCGAUGCCAAACUCUUGCAAGUCACGCUGAUACGCUUGCAAGACUUCCUCCGACUGAAAGACAAAGACAAAGGAACAAGGAAAAGCUUUUAAGUUCACGCGAAACUUGCGAGAGCCUUACCUUGGACGUCAAAGACUUCACCAAGCUUCCAAAGCUCCAAGCGCUGCAGAGAAUGGAACGACACAGCCAUUAAGCUGGAUAAAAUCGCUGGAUCGCGGCUCAAAUUUACCUCGACUGCCACGAGUUAGUUCCUCCCUCCGAUUGCUCCUGAGAAGAACGAGAAAACGAGGAUCAAGCAGCUGGAAAUCCCAAAUGUAGACUGAUUUGGCACGCGCCAGGUCGGAUUUCUCCGGCAAUUCGCAUGCAUGGGAGGCAGAAUCGCGCGAGGCUACUCACCAUUGUGGCGGGCGAUGGAUGGAUCGCGCUCGAGCAUGUCCCGCCCUCACAGGCGCUGCCCUAAAACCCCAACUUUGAUAGAAGGACGCGCCGUGCACACUUCGAUGGGCCAGAGGUCACAAUCUUCCGUACAAUAAAUAGUUCCUCUAGGGCAAGUUUGUGGAGGCGAGGCAAUCGAUCGACCUAGGUAUGAGAAUGCAGCGCCAGAUCUCGAGAUAGAUCGCGAUCGCCGCAUUGUAGAAGGAUCAAGCAAGUCUUAGUUCUUUAGAGAGAAUUCCAGGGGAUUUCAACCAUUUCUCGAUCGUGCCGGCGACAGGAACUUUAGCUUUGAAGGAUAGUGGCCUUCUGGGACGAUCGAGAAGGAAGGAGGGAAAAAGGAAGCUUUGGACGGAUCGAUCUGGAAGAAAAGGAGAAGAAUUAGAGUCUUCUUUGGAAGAUAACUUUUUGCUUGAACGCGGUGCUUUGGGACGCGACAACGAUAUUGCUUUGCUGCCGCUCGCUUUUCCAAGGCCCUGCGUUUUUUGACACGGUGGUCCUCGUCCACGCAGCUCCACGUCAAAGGUAAUCGCUGGUCAGCUUUUUCGCCGUGGAAACUUGAGAACUUGCAGCUCGAGGUAGAGUUUAUCUUGUUCGUGCUCACUGAGUUCGCCGUCCACACAGGAAGUAUCAAGUUAAAAUACGAGAAAGGAGGAUUUUUGGCUCGAUGGCAAUGCGAGGAGCAGCUGGUUCUUCGUUUUUCCAGAGCAGUAGCAUAAGAUUAGUCCAGCAGCAGCAGCGGCAGUGUCACAGGGAUAGAAGCAGCGGCAAAGUUCUGCCUGUUAGAAGAGCAGCGACGAUUAGAAGCAGUGGCAGCAGCGCGGAGAGCGUCCAAGCAAGAGAUUUUGUGGCUUUGCCAAGACCGAAUUUGGAGGAGAGGCCUCCGAGGCUUUGCACUCUCAGAGCUUUCAGCCAAGAUGGGGGCGACUCGGUGGCUAUGGGGAGUGCGUGGGACUCGGCGACUAUCACCUCUUCCUCAGCUUUUCUCAAGCAACUGGCGGCGAGUGUCCAAGCCACAGCUCAAGCGCAGGACUUUGAAACGCUCUCGGGUCGCUUUGCAAUGGUGAGAUCUUUGAUCUGUUCUCUUGUUUUUUGAUUUCCCAUUCAUUCGCGGUGUUUGUUUUGAUACAGGUUGCUUUCGCUGUGGCUUUAGGACUAGAGUUUGUGACAGGCAACAACGUGUUCAAGGGAAUAGAAGUGAAAGAACUGGGUGAGACUUUAGGCUUCUCUGCAGCGUGUGUCAUUUCCAUGGCGGCUUUCAGUGCUGCUUGGGGGGCAAAGAAGCGAAUCGGGCUCUACAUGACAAAAGGCUGCCAAGAUCUUGUCGAGUUCAUCCUCACCGACACAAUCGACGCCAUUUUCUACGACCAAGACGAUGACCCCAUGAAGUUGUGAGUUAAAAAUCUUACAUUUAAAAAGCAAGCUAGCAGACACAACGGUCCUUUGACGCUUCCAUCGAGUGACUAAAGCUUGGGCUUGGCGAGACUCUUCCCUCUAAAUCCUGUGUGAGGGGAUUUGAGCGCUUGCUCCUGGGCUUGCAACUUCCAAGAUCAUCACUAAGCACCUCCUUGCACAUGGACUGUAUCACAGUGCUUCCUUCGAAAGCUUUGGUGAUCAGUUUGGUAUUGGAGGUUGGUUGUGAUGGUUGACCAAGCUGAAUGCUGGAAUCUUAUUAUUGAUGGUGGUGUUGAUAAUGGUGCCGACGGAAUUGUAGAAAUUUGGAUUAUUCAAGAUGUUAUUCAUGAGUUGCAAGCCUUUAAUCUAAAUCAAUGGCAUGAUAGAUACUGUGUUAAGGCACUUGAGGCUGGACAUGGUAGCGCUUCAAGUAAACUUUCUUUGGUAGAUUUUUAACUUGCACAUCUUCCUCUGUGGAUCUAGCAAAGAACAAGUGCCAGUUUUCGCCUUUUUUUGUUCUGUCGAAAUACUUCUGGAGGAGUCUGGAAUGAUUUCUCCGAGAGCCCAGAGUGCCAUCAUGACGAGCUCAAGUAGUGAUUUACAGCCACACUAAUUAUCACCACCAGUAUCACCUUGAUCACUCUCAUGUGCUUCUCGUUUCUCAUCCACUUAAGCUUUGGCUCAGAAGCCCCAGCUUCUCCCCUUCUAUUUGUCAAGAACCAAUGGUGCAAGAACGAAAGCUUGGAAUAGAUGGGGAGAUAACUCUAGGUACCUUUUCUUUCUCGUUCUUCCUCACAUAUCCUUCGCCUCAGAGCGUUUAGCAGCGAGCCAAAGUAUAGUGAAAGAACCGUGCACGUCAGGUGAUCACAUUGUAAAUCCGCUGUGGCCAGUUGCGUCAAUGAAACUUCACUAUAUAUUUGCAUUGGACAUUGUCUCUGUAAGAGGAGAGCAAAGACAAAAGCCAGACUGGAAAAAAAAAACAAUCGACUACCUGAAUAACAGCUAAAAUGUGCGAGUGACUGUAUCACUUUGGAAUUGUUUGAACACACAGCACAGUUGAAUGUGAUGUGAAGAAUGGUUGAAUGGGAUGUGAAGAAUCCCUGCAUGAAUGUAAUAGCAUCAUCAAGAUCUCUUCCAAACAACCAGCAAUAUCACAAACCUUGCCAUAUUGGAUCUUCAGAGUUACGGCCUAGGUUGCAAUAGAAACUCGCAAGCAAUCUCCACAGCAGCAGGAGCUUUGCGAUCUUCUACUGAUGUGAAUCUCAUCAGUCUAACCACGGACCAAAACUCCACGGCCAUCCAACAAAACCUGUAGCGUGUGGCCAUACAAAUGAUCAUACCAUGGUAUCAUCUGGAGGAUCAUAAUGUCGACGUACUCGACUGCCUCAAUACCUGGAGAGUAACAGUCCCAAGCAGAACCAUUAUUAAACGAAAUGACGAUGGAUCCCCUUAAGUUAAACCUUUUAUUUGUAAUAUUUGACACACAAGUGGAUCUCAUAACGCUCAUUGGUGAAAUAUAACUCUACUCCCAAUAUCAAAUUAUGCAUUUUCAUAGGCAAUCCAUUUAAUAAUUGUUUUUAGAUUAUAAUUAAUUUAAAAGUUAGAGGAUUAGCACUUUAAAAAAAAAGGCAGAAAAUUUUAGGAAUUUGGCACAAUCCUUGAUAUGGAAUCACUAACAACACCUGGUUUUUGUAAUACAAACAUAGAAAUGUACAACAAAUGCAAUAAAGAUUUUAUAUGUGCUACAAUGACACAAGAUAUAAUUCUUCUCUUUUCCUUUGAGACCAUUGCUAUUAAGUUCUUUCUCAAAUAAGCAAGAACAACAACAUACUUAAAAUUUUCAAAAUUUCUCCUUCUGUUAGUUAUUUUGAUUUUAGUGCUGCCAUAGAUGGAUGUACUAGUUAUUAAUUUACAAGGAUUAAGUUAAAGGCUAAGGGAGUCUUUGAAAAUGUGCAAAGACUUGCAAUCUUAAAGUAGUGGCAUAAAUUCAAUUAUAAGGAAUCCUAAUGAAACUCCUGCAAAUUAUACUUUUUGUACCAACCAACAAAGAAUAAUACAUAAUAAGCAAAUGUAUCUACCACUUUGUUAAUAAAGAUCAAAUGGAACUAGGCAACCAGGAAAAGUGAUUCCAUAUCAAGGAUUGUACCAAAUUCCUAAAAUUUUCUGCCUUUGUUUUUAAAGUACUAAUUCUUUGUUCUAAAAUUUUAAAUUAAUUAAAAUAUAUAAAAAAUUAUUAAAUGGAUUGCCUAUGAAAAUGCAUAAUUUGAAAUUGGGACACCAAUGAGCGUGAUGAGAUCCAAAUUACAAUAUCCUUUGUGUAUAGAAAAUUACAAAUAAAAGGUUUAACUUUGCUAGUUUAAACUAGCAAGGACCUGAGCUCUACUAAAAAAAUUAGAAUUGCAAAAGUUUUAUAUGAUAUUAAUACUAUUGAAAGUUAAAUAGUAAAUAGAAACUGUAAGUAAGUUUUUAUGAAUAUGGGAGGAAUACAUAAUUGAAUUUUAUCAUAGAAAAUAUCUGUAAGAGAAUAAAAUUCCCCAAUUGUGAAUAUGGAGUCUAUUGGUAAAAAAGUCAACUUAUGCAACAGUAAAAAGCUCCUGUUAUUAUUACUACAUGUUUUAUAGUAUUCAUUGCAAUGACAAAAUUCCAUAGUUCAUAAGUAUUAGCUAUGAUUAGUAUUUGAUUAAAUUUUUUCAAAAAUAGCAUCUUAUAAGUAUUUAUCAUUUAUACAUUUUUUUUUAACAAUGUAGAUAUCUAAUAUAGUUAAAUUAUCCUAUAUUUAUACCCUCCAACCUUGCAAAGAUUUCUUGUUAGGUGGAUACUCCAAAAAAAAAAUUGUGCUAGACACUUCUCCACACAUCUAAAGAUGUGUGUUAAUCCUUGCCAGGACUCCUUAACUCUUAAGAGAAAUUAAAUACCAAGCUAACCAGUUACAACUUUUCAGGAAAAAUACAUACACCAAAGAUGGGUCACAAGAAGAAGAACCAACAGCUAUGAGAGCAAACGCUAUGAGAUUAAAAGUCAUUUCAAGAUUAAACACAAUCUGAAAAUUUCCAGCGCAUAAAUAAAAAAUUGAGAAACAUCUUGGUGGUGCAACCAAAUACCUCUCUAAAUCAAGAGUAGCACUAGACUAUGGUGUUCCACAGCAAGAGAUACUGGGGCUGUAUGUCACUGGACAUAACUUAUAUUUGCUUUCAAGUUAAGAAUUUAUCAACAUUAAAUCAUUACAAAAGAAUUAAAAAAAGUUUUAAAUUGAUAUAGAAUAUACCUGAAUAUUCUAGGUAUAUCCUUACACCCACUAUGGUUUUAAUCUUAAAAUAUUUUCAUAAACUUUAAUUCUAAAUUUAAGGUAUUAAUUUAAAUUUUAAGUUUACAGGCUCAAUCCAAAGGCUCUGAUUAUUAAUAUUUUUAUAAUUAGUAUUACAAAGUAGAAUUUAAACUAUUUAUUCUAGAAUUUAAUUAUCAGAGACUACCAUAAAUUUCACCAACUUAAAACCAAAGAUGAUCCAACAUUAAAAAAUUACAUAUCUUAUAAACAUAUAUAUAGAUAAGGAAUUAACAUAUUACUAAAGCUUUAAAUAAUAAAUUCUUCUAUAACCAUUACUAGUAAAUUAUAUAAGUUGAAUAGUUGUUAAUAUUGAAAUUAUUUUGGUGCUCUUAAAUUGUAUAUAAAUUCUUAUAUUAAUUAGUAAUGAAAUAUAAUAAUAACUUUUUAAGCCCAUGAAAUUUAAGUAAUCUUUCUCACAUCAUAAAAAAUUAAAAUAAAUUCUUCUAGUCUAAAUAAAUUUGAAUAUGUAAACAAAAAAGUAUAUUAAUGAUAAAAAUAAGAUUUUUCUUCUAAAAACUGCUUCAUUUUUCUGAUCAUACCCAAGUGUGAAAUAAGAACAAUUAAUCCCCAAGUCGCACUACCGAGACAAAGCUCUUUUAUAUUCCUAUCGAGCCCAUAGAAACAAUUCGACUUGCAGAAUAUGUGCAAGGACAGCUACCUCAAGGUGAGAAAAACGAGAAAAAAGACUACAACAAAGACCAGUAUUGACAUUGAAGGCGUGACCUUAAAAGUACUCUCCGUCCGCUCCGAGACCCUCAAACCUCCGCUCAAGGAAGUCGACAGAAAAUACCUGAAAGAACCGCUUGCACAAUUUUAAAGCUUUGAACAGAACCAAACUUUCUACCUGUUGUCCUUGGAGAACUCGACGGCGGUAAUAGCAAACGAGUGCGCGGAUUUGACCCGUUGGACAACCUUGAGCGUCGCGGCCUCGACAACGAGAACAUCACCCUCCGAGCAGCCCCUGCUCAAUCACACAGCUCACCAAGUUACUUCAUCUCCGACCAAAUGAAUCAAUCACCUACAUUGCCAAGAGCUUGCCAUCCGAGCUGACACUGAAGGCUGAGAAAGGAUGCGUGCAAAACCUCUCCUUGCGUGUCUCUUUGGUUCUCCAGUCCUCACUCCAGUUGGUAAUAUGGCCUGCGCAGAGUAAGAACUACAACCGUCGAGAAAACAUAGAGAUUUAAACCUUUGCUUGAUGCUACAUGGAGUUGCGGCGUUGAACUCCUUGAGAACCAGCAGUAGCGUCCUUCCUCGGAAGGAAUGACACGCAGAUGAUUGUCUCCAUGGAGCUCCCACACGUAAGUUUUUCCACCACUUGUGGACGCAGCCAAGAGCGUUCCUUCCUCACUAACAAAGUCUGGUUAUCAGCAACAUCACUGAGAGCAAAACACGCCACCAUACCUGAAUUCGAGAGACUUAAACUCUGCCGAUCCAAUCUCACACUGCUCGUCCACGAGAAGCUCCAACGAAGGCCAUUUGUAUACACGCAAGUGUCCAUUCUAGUAUAGAGAAAAGCACAAAGUGUUUGAGGUAGAAGUAGUAGCAAGCAAAAGAGGAAAACCAAACCAUUCCCGCGGUUGCAAACAUGGUGCCGUCCAUGCUGAAGGCCAUGGCAGUCUGCUCCUUCGCUAUGACGAUUUCGCGAUGGGCGCUCUCUAUACUCAAGUCCUCAGCCAAGCGAAAGAAUUCCAGUUUCCCGUCGUGCCUAAACGAGUGUAAGUAGAAGAAAAAGGGAGGAAGAAAAAAACUGGAGCUUACCACUCAUUGGCGAUGAAGGAGCAAACAAAGUCCGUUCCAUUGGGGUGGAUCGCCAGAUGAUAAGGAGCGUCGAGGCCUGUGCUCCGUGUAUACAGCUACAACCACAUCGAUCGAUCGAUUCAAAGCUCUACAAUCUCCGCUAGGAAUUUACCUGUUCCAUCGCGGAGCCGGUCCAUCGCGCGAGGAUGAGCAUGUUGCCACGCCCGCUGCGCGUUGCCCCGCCUCCACCGCCACACACGACAUAGCCAUCCUUCGCCCACGCAGCACAAAACACGGGAACGCUCAAGGUGCUUCUCGCCAUUGCAAAAAGGAAUUAGGGCUUUUGCGCCUAUUAUAUGCGCGUUGAGAUCCAACGGUGGUGAUUGAGAACGAGGAAAGUGGCGGGAAAGGCAUGUCGUAAUGGAACAGGUCCGAUCGAUCUGGUAGCUUUUCAAGGUUUUGCUGCAAUGGAUGCGAUUAAAUAGAGCCACAUCAAGUUCACACGCCCGGUAUCAGAACCGUCGAUCUCAAAUCGUGACGUUAGUUGAGGAAGCUCAUCUGAAAAUGGGAUAUUGAAAUUAUAGAGCCUAUCUUUAUCUGUAAUAAUAUUUGAAGCUACAUUGAUGUAGAUUCUUUCAUUAUCAAGAUCUCAAACUACAUAUUUAUAAUACUUCUCUGAUUAUUUCUAAAUUUGAGAGAAUACAUGGCUGAUAAUAAUAUUCUUGAGAAUACACUGAUCUUGAAAGUGUUUUCACGAACAAAAUCAUUGAAAUGGAGAGCAGCAAUCCAAAGAAAACGUUGAUUUAGAGAUUGUUCCAGUGGCAUUAAAAUUCAUUUCUUACUAAUAUGUUUAAAUAAAUAAUAUUCUCACAGAUUAAUAAUUUAAUAUGCAACCUACCAAAAAAUCCAGGAGUCUCGUUCCCCUGUCGUAGAGGACUUUUCAUUGUAGUUUUUCUUACGUCGCAUGUUUUUGGUUUGCUUAAUUACGGGAUUUUGAGCAGCUCGAAAACAGGAGAGAGGGACGCACAAUGACAGUUCUACUCUGAAUCGAUCGUUAAUAAGCACAAUGUUCCACCUUCCAAUUCUCGGCUGCUCAGACACAUCCUUGCCCACAAGCAAAACUAAUCUCCGAGCUUGGAAACAGGCGCAAUGGCCUCUUCUCGCUAUGGCUACAUGCCGAGUCUUUCUUCUCGGCCUCGUCAAUGUUGUGAAGAACGCUGGAAGAUCCAGAUCCUUGAGCUUGGUCACCAUCUCUCGGACCUUUGCUAGGAUCUCCCGGCUCUGGGGGUGGCGGCCAGCGUCUCCAGCCACGAAGCUAUGCACGAGGCCGGAGUUAUCAUCCGACCACCAUCUUCCAUGCUCGGGCCUCGCCUCUCAUCAUCUCCACCUCGUUUUGCUCCUCCCACAUCUCCAAGCUCGCGUAGAUGUUCGCCAUGAGAGUGUAGUGCGAGGCGUUUCUCCUGUCCAGCAGCAUCAAUGCGUUGAAAGCUCGUCUCCCGAUCGCAGCGUUCUUCCACUUCCGGCUGGCCGCCAAGACUGUUCUCCAGGCCAGCACGUUGGCCUCGAAAGGCAUCGUCUCCGUCACUCUCACUGCCGCCUCGAGCUCGCCUCCACGACCAAGUAUGUCGAUCAGGCAAAUGUAGUGCUCCAUCGCUGGAGCAACGCCGAAUCUCGACUGCAUGGACGCUAAGUAGCUCUUCCCCCGAUCGGUGAGACCUGCGUGGCUGCAAGCCGUGAGGAUGGAGACGAAGGUGACGCCGUCGGGACGCAAGCCAUCGUCGUGGAUCAUCCUCCAGACGCUCUGGAACACGCUAUCAGUGUCACCUUGGCGGCUGUAUCCGGCGAUGAGAGCGCUCCAGGUGACGAGCGUCCUGGCGGGGAGUGCGUCGAAGAGCUGCUCGGCCUCGACGAUGCUGCCGCAUUUGCAGUAGAGAUCCACCAAGCAGUUUGCAAGGAGCUCCUGGCACUCGAGGCCACACUGAGAGGCGAGACCGUGGAGCUUCUUCCCGGACUUUAGCGAGCCGGAGCUUCCACAGGCCCUGAGCAGCGCGGAGAAGAACGGAGGAUCGAGCAGAAGGAGCGUUUGAUCCGAGGAGUGGAUCAUCCUGCCGAAGAAUAUCUCGAGUGCAACGUCCGCCUCGCCACUCUCAGCGUAGCCUUGCAUGAGAGCCGUCCACGAGACCACGUCUGGAGGCUGCUUCAUGCUCUCAAACGCUCGUCUGGCGUCCUCCAUGCUUCCACACUUGGAGUACAUGUCCACGAGCGAGCUGGCGACGAAGCUAUCGUUGCAAAACCCAGCCUUGAUCGCUCCAGCGUGAAUUCUCAUCCCCUUCUCCAGGUGGUCGAUCUUCACAAGCUUCCCACCGAUGUGAUCUGUGGCCUCGUCUUUCGUGGCAAGAAGGCUGCAAGCUUUGAGAGCCGCCAUGAAAACUCUCCCAUCUGGGGAGCAGUGGCUUUCCUCGUCGCCGUCUUGGAUCAUCCGGAAGAAGAGAUCCAUCGCUAGCUUUGCGUCGCCACACUCGACGUAGCCGAGCAGCAGGGAAGUCCACGAAACCACGUCUCGAGCGGCCAUCCUAUCGAAAACCAUCCGAGCGUCCAAGGAGCUGCCACACUUCGUAUAGAUGUCCACGAGAGCGUUGGUGAUGAAAGCGUUGGAGUAGCAGCAGCGAAGCGUGGACACUGCCCGAGAGUGGAUCUCCAUCGCCGUGCUAAGCGCCCGGACCUUGACGAGCUUGCCAUGGAUUCCUUCCGGAGCUUCCCUCGCUGCCAAGCUCGAGCAGGCCUUGAGAGCCGCCACGAAAGCUCUCGAGUCCGGCGAUGGUGUUGCGGAGCUCUCAUCCUCCUCACUUCCAUCGUCUUUUCUCAUCCGGUGGAAGAGCUCCAGCGCGAUCUCUCCCCGCCCAGCCUCGGCGUAGCCCAGCAUGAGAUUGACGAAGGAGGCGGCGUCGCGGCGGGGCAUGGCGUCGAAAACCCUGUGAGCGUCGACGAGGCUGCCGCAUUUGGCAUACAUGUAGAUGAGAGCUCCGCCCACGCGAGUGGUGGAGCUGAAGAGCGCGCUGGCGAUGGCGUCGCUGUGGAGCCUCUUGCCCCGCUCCAAAUCCCUCGACGCCGCGCAAGCCUUGAGCGCCGUGAGGAGCUCGCGAGCCGCGGGCCUGUAGCUGGCGAUGGCAUCGCUGUGGAAAUCUCUCGCGAGUGAGCGCUCGGCGCGAGGGAAUGCGGCAGAGAACUCAACUCCCAAUCGUUUGGCCCAAAAAUCAUAACCUAAGAGAAAGUCGAAUCUUUAAACGUCCAAGAGCAUAUUCGUAUAGACAUCGUAGAAUAUCCUUAUAUUCCACGAAUAACGAAUAUCCAUAUUUAGUGCCGGUCCGUCAAACUUUGACGAUGACUUGAAGUCCUUAUCGAACAAGGCUAGAAAAUGCGCUGCCAAUAGAGCCCUGGUACAUCUCUGGACCCGUUCAGAGGCUUUGGUCGAGGCUCCAAAGUCCUCAGAAUUCCCACUGGUACAUAAAAUUUCUUGCAAGGCUCUUUUGAUUGUUUGUUUUUUCCCAUGUUGCAAAUCUCCAGACUAGAGCAUUCUCAAAGCACCUGGCAGAGAAAGUUUGCAGGAUUUCUCUCAUCGGUCGAGGCUGGUGACGAGUAUCUGCUGGAAUCUAUACUUUUGACAAUGUAGAAAAACAGUGGUAAGUCAAGUCUUAUGUUUGCUAGGAAGAAAGCUUAAUUGGUGUUACUACAAGAUCCCUGGCUACUGCAAAGAAGAUUUCUAUGGAGAGGAAGGUUGUUGUUGGCUACAUUAGUGUCGAAGUACCUAGUUCAUGAUUUUAAAUGGAAGUAACAGUUCCUUUGACAAACUUGGGCCAAAGGAAGAAGAAAUUAAACACACUUAACAUUUUCCCAGUGUUUUUUACUACUCCUUAAGAUCUAAGUGUUUCAAGUUGUAGAAGGACAAAUCUUUCCAAGGAUCUCCUCCAAAUCAUUUUAACGAAUUGCUGGAAAGAGUAGUCAUUACAAAUUUGAGCUCACAAGCUCAAAAGUCAGCAAAAGUCCAUAUACGGUGGCGCUAGCGAGUGAAGAGAUCAAGAUCAUCAAGAGAGUGCUGCCACGAUCCAUGGCUGGAAUUGGAGAUGCAAAACACCGGUGGUAAAUUGGUUUAAAAGCUCUAGAAAAAGUUGACCUCGUGCAUGCGGAGUUAGACUUUUCAAGAUCGAACUCAACCAUGACUUUGAGACUUAAGAUAGAAUCUUGCAAGCACAGGUGUUCUUAUGUUUCCAUUCGAGGAAUCUUGGACAGGCUGCAUGUGACUCCUUGGCAUCUACACUCUUAAAGGAUGAGGUUGUGGUUCUUUUGCAGUUUCGAUCCAAUCUGAAGAGCAAUAUAACCUGAAUUUUAAACACCAUCCAAUGUAGAUAUACCCGUAUAUUUACUGCAUAAAAAAUCAAGCUAGAAUUUUUUUACUGAAGGUUGUAAAAGGCAGGAAGGCACUACAUAGAAACCAUGUGGGCAUAAUUACAUACCACAUUGUCUCUACCACUUCCACUCAUGAUUAACGCCUGAUCCAAGCUUGAAUCUAAGCCUAUAUCAUGUCUAGUUAGUCUAAAUGAAGAGUUGAUGAGAAAAAUAUACAAAAAAUUCAUCAAUUAAGUACCCAAAAUGUUAUUCUUGGUUUUGGCCUUACUUGCACACACUCUUCCUCAUUGCUAUGGCUUCAAUCUUGCCACUAACAUGUGGUUUUAGUGAUGAACUACUAGGCUCCCACUUCUGGUACUACUAGGCACUUGAUUCUCCAUAAACACUCUAACUUUAGGAUUGAAGUGGUUAAUAUUGAAAUAAGAUCGCUUUCAGAAUCUGAUUUCUAAUACUUAUGUGAAUAAUUCAUGCAAAAUCUGAUAUUUCUUCUGCCAACCCGCCCACCAUUAGUGUCACAAGGUAAUCUUAAUUAUCAUUUCCAUGAAACUUCAAAACUAUGAGCACAAAGUUAAUAUUUCUUUCAUUAAGAGUUUUAGUUAAAUGGCUUGAUCACGACUCUAAGUAUUAGAUAAAGUAUUGUAAUCAAGAGGCUCAUCCUCCCAUUUGUCACUAGCCUUCUAGCCAACAAGUGCUAUACUCCUUUCAACUUCAAUCAUCAUAAGAUUGCCAAGAUUGCCUAUAAUUAAAGAGUCAAUUGCUUUGAUACUAUGAAAAUAUUGGAGAGAUGCAUAUAAAGAGGAAAAACUAUGUAUCUCAAUUGUAUAUGGAUGGGUAUAUAAUGACCAUAUGGGCCUCUAAAAAUCAUUAUGGAAAUCUUUUAUGAAUGAGCAUUUGAUGCAAAAAAAAGUUUUAGUGCAAAAAAUCAUAACUUAAGAGAAAAGUAAAUCUUUAAUGUCCCAUUAACAUAUUUGUAUAGGCACAUAUUUAUUCUCCACAAAUAAAGAAUAUCUAAAUUUCAAGUGGGCUUUAUUCUUACUUUGCUAUCAGCUGCCACAACUCUUCUCUCCUCCCACUUGGCACAAUAAUGAGAAAAUUGUUAUAUCAUUCAUUAAAAUGAAAUUCAUAGCAAUAGUGUUAUAAAAUCAUAAUGUAAAGCUUGAUAAGUGGGAUAUAAACCAAAAUUGCAUGAUUCCAGUGUUUAGAGGCUACAUUUUUCAAGUUUUUAGUAUACAUUGUUUUAUUCUUGUAAUGGUUGAACUUGGAAUGCCUCUCAUAAGCCUAGUAAACACAUUUUUGCUAAUAAAGGAAAUAUACUUGCAAAAGUUAUUUUUAACAAAUAUGUAGAAGAAUUUGGCCUCUUAGACAUUGUGGAAUGUAAAUAAAAAAUUCUUCUAAUUUAUAGUUUUUAUUGGUUAUUAAGCCAAUGCUCUAACACCAUUUUCUUUGUAGAGAAAAUUGUGGAUAGAAUUUGCAAAAAGUUUAUGUUAGCUAAAUAUAAGAAAUAGUGGGAUAGAAGGAAUCUAGAAAAGUAGUUUAACAAGAAACCUUUCUAAGUUGCAAUGGCAAUUGUGAAGGAUUAUGAUUUAGAGCAAUUUUUGUGGAUGUAAUGCUAGUAAAACUUUUUAUAGCUUUAUUUUUUCUAAAUUUUCUUAUAGAAAAGCUUAUUGCAUAUUCAAAGCAUUUAUUUACAUAUUAAAAUCUUUUAUGCUUGACUAAAACUCUUUUAAUGAUUGUGGCUAGGAAGAAUCUAAGCAUUCUCCACAAAUAUAAGUGUUCCAUUUUGGAUUGUACUUUCGAAAUAAAAAUAAUUUUCUUAUUCUUGUAUGAUUUAAUGGCCCCCUUUGUCAUGAAAGACUCUUCUGUAAGGAACUAACUCCCCAAGGUGUCGUACGCUAAAGGAUCCUCGAAAGCAUGACUGAAAUGAUAAAGAGUUCAUCGGAUGGGACCAAGUCCGAGAUCGUGUCCAAGACUGACUCUGAGACCGAGUUUAAGAUAGAGUCCGAGAUUGAGUCCGAGGCCGACUCCGAGACCAAGUUCGAAACUGAGUUUGAGACCGAGUCCGAGAUCUGAGAAUGGGUCUGAGACCGAGUUUGAGUUCGAGUUUGAGGUCGAGUCUAAGAUUGGGUCCGAGGUCGGGUCCAAGACUAAGUCCGAAGUCAGGUCCGAGAUCGAGUCCAAGAUUGAGUUCGAGAUCGAGUCCAAGUACUAAUAUGUGUCAAGGGGUGAAAGCCCAAAGCGUGCGUCUCCCAAGGGCGGGGGGGGGGGGGGGGGGGGGUUUAAAUAAUUUUCCCAAGUCAUUUAGGCUUUUAGUUUGGUUCCGGGGGCCCAAAAAACCGGCUUGAACGAAAGUUUCCGGGUUGGCUCCCCACUUAAUNNNNNNNNNNNNNNNNNNNNNNNNNNNNNNNNNNNNNNNNNNNNNNNNNNNNNNNNNNNNNNNNNNNNNNNNNNNNNNNNNNNNNNNNNNNNNNNNNNNNNNNNNNNNNNNNNNNNNNNNNNNNNNNNNNNNNNNNNNNNNNNNNNNNNNNNNNNNNNNNNNNNNNNNNNNNNNNNNNNNNNNNNNNNNNNNNNNNNNNNNNNNNNNNNNNNNNNNNNNNNNNNNNNNNNNNNNNNNNNNNNNNNNNNNNNNNNNNNNNNNNNNNNNNNNNNNNNNNNNNNNNNNNNNNNNNNNNNNNNNNNNNNNNNNNNNNNNNNNNNNNNNNNNNNNNNNNNNNNNNNNNNNNNNNNNNNNNNNNNNNNNNNNNNNNNNNNNNNNNNNNNNNNNNNNNNNNNNNNNNNNNNNNNNNNNNNNNNNNNNNNNNNNNNNNNNNNNNNNNNNNNNNNNNNNNNNNNNNNNNNNNNNNNNNNNNNNNNNNNNNNNNNNNNNNNNNNNNNNNNNNNNNNNNNNNNNNNNNNNNNNNNNNNNNNNNNNNNNNNNNNNNNNNNNNNNNNNNNNNNNNNNNNNNNNNNNNNNNNNNNNNNNNNNNNNNNNNNNNNNNNNNNNNNNNNNNNNNNNNNNNNNNNNNNNNNAAAGAGGAGUCUGGUGGUGAGGUUUGGUCGUCCAAGGCUCGAUUGGAUGUUCUAGAAAAGCAGACUAUAACCAUUUAAGAAUAUGUUAAUGGAUUUAUGGCAAAGAGGAUACUUAUCACAGACAUAGGGGAUACAGAUGCGUUCCAUGCCUUCAUAUCAGGCUUGCAAACUUGGGCUCGCGGUGAGGUGAUGUGUUGGAUCCCGACCAACUACAAGGAAGCAUUGGAUGCGGCCAUCAAAGUGCAUUUCAACGAUAACCUGCAAAAGGGGAAUACGACGAGGUCGAGGUCUACGUUUAGCAAAGGGGCCAAACCAAGAGGAACAUAUAGCAAAGGGAAAUUCAAGAAGAGUUUCUCUAAGAAUGAGUCCUUAGGGUUCCGGAAAGGUAGAUCCAGUGGCUAGCAAUCAAGUAUGUGGGGGAGUUAAGCAAAAAGAGACAAACCCAGGGAAUGUCCCUACCCGAAAAAGGCCAGAGCCAAUAUGGCCAUUAAGUCGAGUGAAAUCCAAACUAAGGUAUGUGAUCCAAUCCUUAGCUCAAAGUUACUCAUUACAUGAGCAACUUUGGUAGAGAGUCGUUCACGACAUUUACUAACCCUUCGAGGGAAGUUCAAAGGUAGCUUUGUUAAGAUGCUUAUUGACAUAGGUGCUUUGGAUAAUUUUGUGGCUAUAGACAUAGUCUAGCAAGCCAAACUAACGAUGUAGCGGCUGGAACCAAGGACGAUAGAGUUUGUUCAAGGUAGCCAAAGCACCGAUGAGAUACUUCGACAAACAAAAGUUGAAGUAGGGACAUGGAAAGUAGACAUGGAUUUCACUGUGUUGGACAUAACGGGAUUUAACGUAAUCUUUGGAAUAGACUGGUUCAAUCAGUUCGUAAUAGCCCUGCAUGGACAAGGGAGGAACCUUGUGGUACUAGUGAAUGCCUGGGGAGAACGAUCUAGGGUGGAGGCCUAAGAUCUAAAGGUAGGGCAAUGUAAGGCCAAAGACUCUUACUUAAACUUAGUGUCCACGAGAGGAAAACUCACUAAAGGAACCAAGGCAACAUUUUUAUGCUUACUCUCGGUGAAGAGUGACAAAAAGACAGGAACGAAAGAAGUACCUUUAGUGAUCCAGCGGAUGUUAGCCCAAUUCUAGGAUACCAUGCCAGAGGAGCCACCGACAGAGUUGCCCCCCACCCGACCGAUAAAACACAAGAUUGAGCUGGUCGAGGGUGCUAAGGUGGUGGUUCGUCCCCCCUAUCAUUUGAGAGAAAAAUAACUCAAGGAGCUCAAGUGCCAACUAGAAGAGUUAGUUGACAAAGGGUAUGUUAGGUUGAGCGAGUCGUUGUAUGGGGUGCCAGUGUUAUUUGUGAAAAAGAAAGAUAAAUCUAUGCGCAUGUGCAUAGACUACCAGUUGCUUAACAAGUAUACAAAGAAGAACAAGUACCCUUUGCCAAGGAUUGAGGACCUGUUCAAUAGGUUGGGAAAGGCAAAAUAUUUCUCGAGGAUUGACCUAAGGUCAGGAUACUACCAGAUCAGGGUAGCAGAGGAAGAUAUCAAGAAGACAACCUGUCAAACAAAGUAUGGGAGCUUUGAGUUUCUAGUGAUGCCCUUUGGGUUGUGCAAUGCGUCAGUAACGUUUUCGGCACUGAUGAACCAUAUCUUUAUACCCUAUCUGGAUCAAUUCAUUGUCGUUUAUAUUGAUGACAUCCUGAUCUAUAACAAGAUGCUAGAGGAACAUGUCAAACACUUGACAAAGGUGUUUGAGAAACUAAGGGAACACAAACUAUAUGCUAAAGAGAGCAAAUGCGACUUUGCUCAACAAUAGGUAAAGUUUCUUGGGCAUGUGGUGGGCCAAGACGGGCUCAAAGUGGACCCUAAGAAGGUCCAAGCGAUCCAAGAAUGGGAGCGACCAUCGAAUGUACAUGAGUUGAGGGCAUUCAUGGGGCUAUGCAACUACUACCGAAAGUUUAUCAGACACUAUUCGAGAGUACCCUUACCCUUAACGAACCAAAUGGGUAAAGGGAAGAUGGUAUGAACAGCAGAAUGCGAGGCGGCAUUUGUCCACCUCAAAGGGAAGUUGAGGAAGACACUUAUGUUAGUGUUAUUUGACUUUGGUAAGGACUUUGAGGUAGAAAUGGAUGCUUCAGACUUUGCAUUGGGCUCAGUUUUGAAGCAAGACAACCAUCCAGUGGUGUUCUUUUUGAAGAAGUUGAACAAGGCUCAGCAAAAAUGGCCUGCCCACGAGAAGGAAUUAUUUGCGGUGGUCAAGGCACUCAAGGAGUGGCGACACUACCUUGGGAGGCACUUUAAAGUUUACACAGAUAAUGUGGCAACAAAACACUUCUUGUCACAACCUGAUCUAAGAGGGAAAUAAAGUCGGUGGGCCAAUGCUUUGGUUGAGUUUGAUUGUAAGAUUCUGUAUAAACCUAAGAAGAGCAAUAUCGUGGCAAAUGCUCUAAGUCAAAAAACAAGCUUGAAGUUAGCGAUAUCUAGCGUGAUAGCAACCUUUUGGUCUAGCACAAGAAGUGUUGUUGAAGAACCAAGAGGCGCGAGAAGCUCACCAGAGAGGUGAGUUGCCAACAUAAGAGAAAACAGGUUAUGUGGAACGCAAUGGACUUAUCUAUUAUAAAUAAACGAAAGUGUAUAUUCCUAAAGGGGAAUUAAGGAAGGUAGCCUUAGAAGAGUGUUAUGAUGGACCUCUUGCGGGAUACGGCAGAGUGCUCAAGAUGAUGGGCUUACUCAAGUGGAAGUAUCACUGGCCAGAUAUGGCUAAUGACGUCCAAGACUUUGUAAAGUCAUGUCCAACAUGUCAGCAAGUCAAAGCCAUGACUAAGGCUAGUGGGGGCUUGUUACAAAGCAUCCCAAUUCCAGAUCAGCCAUGGAAAUGUCUUACAAUGGACUUCAUCACGGGACUCCCCCCAAGCGAGGGUUCGAUGCGAUAUUCGUGGUGGUGGACCGAUUUUCAAAGAUGGCACAUUUCAUACCCACCACCACGGAAGUGGAUGCGGAAGGUGUAGCAAAGCUAUUCUUCGAACAAGUGGUUCGAGUGCGGGGAAGGCCAGAAGAGAUCAUCUCAGACCGAGAUAAGAUCCUCAAGGAUGAGUCUAUGGGAAGUCAUCAAUGGGUGAGCUAUUGAAGGUCCUGUGGAACUCGGCGUGGCCGAGUAUCAUGGAGAGUUACCUACAGUGGAGGCAUUCACGGCAGAAAGACUCAACAUUUGGAAUCUGGGCUCAACAAAAGCAAACCAAGUACGCGAACCAGAAGCGUCGGGAUGUAGAGUUCCAAGCUAGGGAGAAGGUGUGGCUGAACACCAAGAACCUCAGGCUACCAAGUGGGAUCAGUCAGAAGUUGACCCAAAGGUAAAAAUGCAUGUAUUCUUGUAAAUGAAUUGAUCUUGAGUUCCUUAAGCAAGUUCGCAGGGCCUUACAAGAUUGAGGUAUGAAUCGGUAAAGUGGCUUACUGUCUUCGACUUCCUCGAGAGAUGGGGAAGAUGCACCUAGUGUUCCACGUGAACUUACUUAAGCUGUACUUUGAGGAUCUGCUUCGCAAGGACUAAGUAAGACCUUUACAUGAGGUUAUCCAAGGGGAAGAGGAAUACGAAGUCGAGGCCAUCCUCAAUGCGCACAAGAGCAAGCGACAAGGACGUGAGGUGAGAGAGUUCCAUAUGAAGUGGAAAGGAUUUCCACACUGCGAAGCAACAUGGGAACCGGAGGAGAACCUAGUGAACGCAUAAGAUCUAAUGGAGGAAUUUCUGCAAGACAAAACUUUAUGUACUUAUACAAAGUUUAAUUAAAGUAUCAAUUUGUGAAGUUGAGCAAUGGCAUAUGUUGGGACUCGAAGGCAUGCCGAAGGUAAGCUAAUUAGCAUGGGUUAGCUAGGUCGACCAGGUGUAAGCACUAUGCCCGACUCCCCACGGGGAUGUCCAAUCCGUAGACGUAUUCUACGGAGGUUGGGUUCGAGUCCCAACCCCCUAGUAAAGCAAGGCUGGGUUCAAGUCCCGACCCCAUACUAGGGCAUGGUGAGGUGAGGGGUAUAGGGACAUCUAUAUUCCAUUGUCAUGGGCUCUUGGCCGGGGAGGCUAACAUAGGCACACUGCUAAGUGGGGGGAUGCCCCCAGAGACAUGGUCAACAAGUUGUAGGGUUUAAAAAGAGACGUUCGAUGUCGGCAUCGAACUUCUUCUAUGGGUGGUGGAGUUGUAAAGAACCAACUCCCUGAGGUGUUAUAGGCUAAAGGAUCCCCGAAAGCAUGACCAAAAUAAUAAAGAGUUCAUCAGAUGGGACUGAGUCCGAGAUCGAAUCCAAGACCGACUUUGAGACCGAGUUCGAAAUAGAGUCCGAGAUCAAGUCCGAAGUUCGAGACCGAGUUCGAAACCGAGUUCAAGACUGAGUCCGAGAUCCGAGAAUGGGUUCAAGACCGAGUCCGAGUUCGAGUCCGAGGUCGAGUCCGAGAUCGGGUCCGAGGUCGAGUCCGAGAUUUAUUUCGAGACCAAGUCCGAAGUCAGGUCCAAAAUCGAGUCUGAGACUGAGUCUGAGUACUAAUACAGGUCAAGGGGUGAAAGCCCAAAGUGUGCGUCUCCCCGGGGGGGCUGCAGGGGUUCCAAAAGUAUAGUAGGGAUAGUGAAGUAAUUUUUGUAGAUGUAGUGCUAGUAAAACUUUUUAUAGCUUUAUUUUUUAUAAAUUUUCUUAUAGAAAAGCUUAUUGCAUAUUCAAAUCAUUUAUUUAUAUAUUAAAAUCUUUUACGCUUGACUGAAACUCUUUUAAUGAUUGUGGGGGAUGAGAUCCAAAAACCUAAGCAUUCUCCACAAAUAUAAGUGCUCCAUUUUUUAUUGUACUUUCAAAAUAAAAAUAAUUUUCUUAUUCUUUUAUGAUUUAAUGGCCCACUUUGUCAUCAAAGACUCUCCCUAAGUUUAAACUUCCAAGUUAAUCCUUAACAUUUUACAUUGAUAAUUCGAUAUUAUAAAAUAAUAUUUUAUCUUUAUUAGCUUUCAAACCAAUAUUAUAAGAUGGGGACUUAACCGUCUCAACUAAGUCACUGUAAGUCAUGUCAUCAAAUAGACUUAUGUUUGUUAAAAAGAAUGCUCAGUUAAACAUUGAUUAUUGCAUAAAUCUUAAAAAGAGUAAUUAUGGGUUUUUUUUUUGUCUAGGCUAAUUUCUAAGAGGAUAAAAUUCUAUAUUAAUAAAUCACAAUCAUCAACAAAUGUGAAUUACUUAGGAAAGAAAAUAAACACUCUUGCCAUUUUCUUUCUAGAAUUAAGUGAAGGUCUAGAAUAAUUAUAUAUUGUUGUUUUAGGACUAGAAACUAUAACAACUUUUUGUAAAUAUUGUAGGAUGGUUUUUGUUGCUUCUCUUUUUUUUAGUGUCAUUAUUUUAUGAGGAUGUGGUUCUUUUAAUCCAAUUUGAAAAACAAUAUGACAUGGAAAACUUAUCCCAGUUUUACAUGCUUAUAUUACAGUUAUAUAUUUUCUUUUAUAUGGAAAAUUGGAGUGUAAAAUAUACCCUUUAUGGCCACUGUCAAGAUCACCAUACCUAUGAUUGCAUCUGCAGCCAUGAUUUAUAUUACCAUGCCUCCCAUAAUGAUUGCAACCAUCACAAAUUGGAACUAUAUACUAACUCGAGUGGGAUUUACUUCUUUAUCAUUUUAAAAAUUGUAACUUACGGCUAUAAGCAAAUGCAUAAUUUUCAUUGUGGAAAUGAUUUUGGCAAGAUUAUAACUCAAGGUAAAUGUAAAUAUGGCAAAGGUUAGUGUAAUAAAAUUAUAACUCAAGGUUAUGGGGUAGGGCAUUAAAUUAGCCAUCAUCCUAAAUUCAUAAUGUUCAAAAAUGGAUCUUCUCAAGUUUGUGAGAACCUAGUCAUUGAUUAUAUAUAGGAAAAAAAUAUCUAACUCAGUGAGGGAAGUUUAUGUUAAAUGAUAGGAUGCUAAAAAAAUUUAUACUAGGAAGUUUAAUAGAUCUUUUCUAUGUAGUGAUAAUGUAAAAAAUAAAUAUCUCCUCAAACAAAAUACUUCCUCCAACUUAUCAAGAAUUGUAAAAUCCAUACCCAUCUCCACAAAAUUUUAAAUGAAAUUGAAAAGUUGGUGAGUGCAACAUAUAAGGAUGAAACAUGUUUCAUUUCCUUUGAAGACAUUAUUGACAAAGUGGUAAAACUUCAUCUAGUGCUAAAGUGAUUUUAGUUAUUGAUUUUGAAUGUCUACUUUAAUACCUUUAAUUAGAAUUUGAAUAAUAUAUGGGGUUGUUACAACAAACUUUAUUUUGCAUAGACAAUGGUAAAUCGAGCUCACUUAAAAGUAAAGGAGUUAGAAUCAAAUUAAGAGUUUUACAUAAAAGUGUUAGCUUUUAUAAAAGAUAUUAAGUUAUACAGUUAAAAUAAAGGUUUAAAAGAAAGGAUUAACAUCCAUUUAUCAAAGGUUGUAAUUACUUAUUUACUUUUCUAAGUUAGAGUCAAAAACAUUAAAUACCAUAGUGGGAUUAUUAAAUCAAUUAAAGUUGUAAAAAAGGUUUAGCUCAUCUCUAAACCUUUUAAACUUUCACCUACAUUCCACAAUUAUGCUUAUGCUCAAGAGGCACUUCUCGAUCUCAAGAGAGGUGAUGGAGAGCAAAAUAACCAAAGACUUCCAUACAAGCUUUCAAAGUUUAUACUUUGGAAGUAGCAAAUGAUUUAAAUGUUUUCUUCUCUAAUACUUUACUUCUUAUAUCACAGUAGUUAAAUAAAUGAUAAUGGUAAAAAUGUAUGUCACUAUUCAUAGUAAAUUCCUUUUUGACUUCUUCUUUCAUUUAUCAUUUUGAGAUAACACUUUAAGAUUGUUUGUGCAACUGAAAUGAAUCUUAGCUUUAUUUAUGGAUGUAAGGAUAAUUUUUGCUAUGGUAAUGAUUUUCGUAACUAGUGUGACAAGAUUGCAACUAAGGGUAGAUAUGAGUGUGGCAAAGGUUGGUGGGGUAGGAUUAUAGCUCAAGGUGGUGCGGAAGGGCAUGAAGUUGACCACCAUCAUAAUUUUUUUAUGUUCAAGGAUAGAUUUUUCAAUUUUGGAAUUCCAAAUAUAUAAUAGAGAUAUAUCAUAUAUCAUUUACACAAACUGGCAUUCAAUUUUGGAAUUCCAAAUAUAUAAUAGAGAUAUAUUAUAUAUCAUUUACACAAACUGGGGAAUGCCAUGUUGAGUGAAGUCAAAAAAUAACUCAAUACCAUGCCUUAAAGCCUUUUGCUUUCUCAUGACUCUACCGUUCAAAUAUACAAGAAAAACUACCAAUUACACAUUAUGUUAUUGUAAAAGAAACAAAAGGGAAUUUUUGUGUAUUAUGAAAUUUUCAAGUCAUUUUCAAAUUCGAUUAAAGACAUUAAUGCAGUUCAAAAAAAUUUCAAUCCAUUUUUUUUUCUUUCCAAUUAUUUAUUUCUCUCCUCAAAUGAUUCGUAGAUGAUAGAAAUAGAGUUUUAAUCAAGCUAAAAAUAUAAGAUUUCUCUGAAGUUCUUUAAUUUUAUUUUUGAUUUAUAAAUCUACUCCACAUGGUAUUCUUUGAGGAAUGUACAAAACAUUGUCAAACAUUAUGAAAAUCUAAAGGUUAUGCUUUCAAAUAAUUUUUUUUCCAACUAUUAUUUUUAUCAUGCUAAUGGUAUUUUUCAAGAAAUGGGUGAUCUUGCAAAUCUUACACUAUUUUAAUUGUUGCAUAAUACAAUUUGCAUUAAUUUUAGAUUGAAAAUUUAUGAUCAAAUAUUCUUCUCUCAAAAUCUUUCAAGGAUGGAGCUAACAUUCAUGGAUACUAUGAAUGGCUUUCAAGGCAUGAUUUAGUCUCAUUUACAUUGACUUAAAAUUAAUAAAAAUGGGAUUAAGAUAAGCUAUUAAAAGUAAAUUAAAAGAGAUUAUUGUUUUUAUGAUUGCUAAGAUAUAAUCAUUACUUUAUUUGUAUCAUAAAUAAAACAACUAGCAUACAUGUGAAAUAUACUUUGCAAGGUGGUUAGUUUUACAUAUGUCUUACAUAUAUAUAUAUAUAUAUAUAUAUAUAUAUAUAUAUGUGUGUGUGUGUGUGUGUGUGAGGGCCAAGUGUACGGCUACGAUGCCGUAUACUAAUAUUAGCGUAGUGGAUUUUGGUAGCCGUCGGAUUGGUUUCAAUCCGGACCACUCGCUCCUGUAUAUAAGCUAGGGUUUUUGAAUUAAUUGAUAUGCACAUUUCUGUAUUCCCUUUCCAUAUUCCAUGCAUUCACAUUGGUGGAGAUGAGGGGCACCUUUGAUUGUCCCUGGGGAGUGCUUGGAUUUGGGAUUUCGGUUUAGAUCUAGCUUUUGCAUUGUCUAGAUCUAGCUUUUUCCAUUUCCUUUCUUUUGUUCUUUCCUUUCAGGAUUUUGGUUUAGAUCUAGCUUUUUGCAUUGUCUAGAUCUACCAUUUCUUUCUAGCUUUUUGUCAUUUCUCUUCUUUUGCUCUUUCUUUCUCAUUCAUUUUCAUGGCCGAUCCGCAAUCUCCUCCUUUGACUCUAGAGCAGCAGUUGGUUCAAUUGCUUGAUGCUAUGCACCUGCAAUUGAACAACCAAACUCAGUUGAUGGCGGCGUUCACGGCACAUGGUACAACUCCUCCUGAUUUUGGUGCCAAUCCUCGCGUUCGGCCGGAGUUCUUUCGUGGGAAUCCUGGGGAUGAUGUGUACCAUUGGUUCGAUCACUUUACGGUGAUUGCCACAUAUCAUUCUUGGGAUGAUGCUCGGCGUUUGCAUGAGUUCCCCACAUGUCUUCAAGGGACGGCAUUGCAGUGGUACAAUGGAUUGAGCGCAGCUACUCGUGGCGAUUGGAGUGUUCUUCCGGACGUCUUCAAACGCGCCUUCGGACACGCCGACGAUUGUGAUGAUGCAUUCCAACAAUUGCAUCGUCUUCGCCAAGGGCCAUCUGAGUCGGUGAUGCAAUUUGGCAUUCGUUUCUGAAGUCUUUUGCUUCGUGCGGAGCCAAAUAUGUCGGAGCGGAUCAAGCUAGGAAUGCUGUGGCCAGCACUUCGUCAAGAUCUUGUCGGACUUGUGCAUGCACUUGCUCCUGCCACUCUUGACGAUGCUCUUUGCUUGGCACAACGUUAUGAGACGUCGCCUCUUCCACUUCUUGCUACACGUCCUUCAGCUCCAGUUCCUAUGAGUGAUGGUCCUGUUCCCAUGGAGGUUGAUGCUGCUGCUACUCGAGUCCAAGGACAAGGGCGAGGACGUGGUCGUGGCCGUGACAUUCGUUGCUGGGCGUGUGAUGAAGUUGGUCAUACUUAUCGGCGUUGUCGGCGCUUUCCGGAUUGGCGACCUCCAUUUCCUGGGUGGAGACCUUGGCGUCAGCAACGUCCCGUUGGUGCUGCUGCGGUGGAAGGUUUGGAUACCGAGGUGCAUUUGGGAAACGAGGAGUCGCGCGAGUAAUGGAGGGACCUUGCGCGAAUAAGUUAGUGACCCCUCCAUCUUUCUUUCGGGAGUAUCAUCAAGGGGUUCACUCGGCACCGGUUCAUCCAGUGUUUACUUUCCAAGCUCGUUUUUAUAACAAGAGGUCUCCUAUUCUUCUCUCCGUGUUGGUUGAUACAGGUUCGAGUUUAUCUUCUAUUGCUCGACCUGUUGCCACACGUUGUCGUCUACACUUGCGUCGUGCGGCGGAUCCAGUUUUCAUUCUUUAUGGCAACGGCCGUACACAUGCAUGUGCACAAGAUGAGGCGGACCUGGUUGUGCGUGUGGGUGAUCUCGAGCUUGAGUUGCAGUCGUUGCGGGUGGUGCCGAGUCAAGCUUUUGACCUCAUUCUUGGUAUGGAUUGGUUGCAGCACAAUCAUGCCAAGUGUGACUUUGAGGCUUUUCCCCCUUGUCUCAUACUUCCUUAUGUUUCAUCCAUUCCUCUCACUUCUGUACCUCUUCGUCCCUCUACUUCUACCUCUGCUUCCAUUACUUUUGUUCCCCCAUUAUUUCCUCUUGUGUUUCCAUCUUGUUCUGCUCUUCCCUUUUCCGAUCCCUCCGAUGAUCUUUGUGUUGCAGCUGUUGACCAGCUCAUGAAGGAGUAUUCUGAUCUCUUUGAAUUUGACCUAUCGUCUGGGGCCAAGAUUGCCACACGUUAUCCCAUUCCAACCGGGGAUGCUCGUCCAAUCAAGGUUCCUAUUCGUCGUCGGUCACCCAAGGAGAUCAAGAUUUUACGUGCAAACGUCAAGGAGAUGUUGGAGAAGGGUGUUAUUCGGAAGUCGCGGAGUCCUUGGGCAUGUGAACCUCAUCUUGUGACGAAGCUUGAUGGGAGUAUUCGUUUCUGCAUCGACUAUCGUCCGUUAAAUGAAGUGACGAUCCCGGACGUGUACCCUCUUCCUCACACUGCUGAUCUCUUGGAUCGUCUGGGGCGAAGUCGUUGGUUCACCAAGCUAGAUCUUGCUUCUGGGUAUUGGCAAGUACCGAUGGCUGAAGACGAUAUUCCUAAGACUGCUUUUCGUACACCAUUUGGUUUGUACGAGUUUUUGGUGAUGCCGUUUGGUUUGAACAAUGCUCCAGCAACUUUUCAGCGAAUGAUGGACGAGGUUCUUUGCGAUAUGCCGGAGGUGACGGCUGACUUCAUUGAUGAUGUCUUGAUCCACUCGGAGGGGACAUGGGAGGAGCAUGUUCGUGAUGUUUGUAAAGUGUUGGAUCGGCUACGCGACGUUGGUUUAAAGCUGAAGCGGUCGAAGUGCGUGUUUGGGUGCAAGGACACAACUUAUCUUGGGUACCGUAUUUCUCGUGAGGGUUUGCAAGUUGAUCCUGACAAACUUGUGGCUGUUCUAAAGUUCCCUACUCCGAAGUGUGUGAAUGAUGUGCAACGCUUUUUGGGUAAGGUGCAGUAUCUCGGUCGUUUUGUGGAUCAUCUUUCCGAUUGCACUUUACCAUUGCGAGCGUUGCUGAAGUCAUCAACGUCAUCUUUCAUCUGGUCUCCCGAUUGUGAGCGGGCGUUCGUGAAUCUCAAAGAGCUAUUGACGACUCUUCCGGUUUUGGCAUAUCCUGACUACACUCGACCUUUUAUUUUGCGCGUGGAUGCUUCUGACAUUGGUCUUGGAGGUGUGUUGAUGCAAGAGAGCUCGAGUGUGCCUGGUCAGCGCCAUCCUAUUGCAUAUAUAAGCCGUACAUUACAACCAGCGGAGAUGAACUACUCCACGACGGAGAAGGAGUGUUUAGCAGCAGUCUGGGGUUUCGAGAAACUUCAUGCCUAUCUACAUGGUUCUCGGACGUUACUUGAAGGUGACCAUGCUGCUGUUACUUCAUUAUUGAAGCGGAAGAACCUGGUUGGUCGUACGGCUCGAUGGGCUUUGAAGCUUCAGAUAUAUGAUUUCGAUGUUGUUCAUCGCCCAGGGAGUUCUAUGGCUGAUGCUGAUGCCCUUUCUCGAGCUCCUCUUCCUUCUCCACUCACUUCUCAUGUUUCUGACGAACCUGUUGUUCCAGCAUCUGUGGAUUUUCUAGAUGAGGAUUCUGUGCCGUCGGCGGUUGCUGUCCUUGACGUUCAGUGUCCACAGGGCGUAGAGCAAGAUCUACCUUCUCUGGAUGAGGUUCGCGAGGCUCAAAAGAUUGAGCCGUGGAUUCGAAGGCUUCGAGAUGGGUUUGAGAAUCCUGCAUCACUUGCUGAUGACUUGCCUUUUCGGCAUUUACAUUCUCAAUAUCGCCUUGAAGAUGGCCUUCUUUAUUUUGUGGGGACGGAUCCUGAUGCUCAUUUACGGCUGGUGGUGCCUUCGGUUUAUUCCGCGGUUUUUCCAUGCCUACCAUGAUUCUCCUAUUCUAGGUGGGCAUAUGGGACACCGUCGUGUCACCGAGAAGUUGCGCAGAUCUUUCUAUUGGCCAGAGAUGCAACGUGAUAUUAUCCGGUAUGUGCGUAGCUGCGUUUGGUGCCAAGCUCGUAAUACUCCCCCUUGUGCUGCGGAAGGACGGUUGGAGUCAAUUGCAGUUUCUCGUCCGUUUGAGUUGGUGGCGUUUGAUCUUAUGGGACCUUUUCCGCGAUCGACUACUGGCAAUGAGUAUGUUAUUAUUGCUUCUGACUACUUGACUCGUUGGGUGGAAGUUGGUGCUCUUGCCAGUGCCUCUGCAACUGCUGUUGGAUACUUCCUCCUCAAUCGAGUGGUGUUCCAGCAUUCUUGUCCAGAACGGAUUCUUUCGGAUAAUGGUCCUGCAUUUAUGGCUGAGGUAUUUCAUGUUUUGACAUCUCGGUUGGGGAUACGCCACACUUUUAUGAGUGCUUAUCAUCCACAAUCAGACGGUCUGGUGGAACGGCUCGUUCGGACAUUCAAAGGGAUGAUUGCGAAGUAUGUGAACUUUCAACAUUCGGAUUGGGAUGGUUAUUUGCCGUCUCUUCGGUAUGCUUAUGUCACAGGGGUGCAGAGUUCUGUUGGUUCUUCACCAUAUAAACUUCUAUAUGGUCAUGAUCCAAUAUUACCAACAGAGCUAGGUUUACCUUCGCGAUUGCCACGAGCUCUUAAUGCUAGGUCAUGGGAUCAAUAUUUGACAAGCAUUCUUCCACUUGUCCGAGCAGAGUCUGCUGAACACUUAGGCCGCGUACAAGUGGGACAACAACGGCGCUACAAUUCCCAUCAUCGUCCACCAGCGGAGUACAAAGUGGAUGAUUUGGUGUUAGUCCGUUUUCCCCAUCUUACGGUACGUGGUUUAUCUAAGGGGCUCCUUGCGUAGUGGAAAGGACCGUAUCGGGUGUUGCGGCAAGUUGGACCACAAGUUUAUGAGGUUCGGCAUGACGUUCAGCAGGCUGAUCCUCCGGAGAUUGUGCAUGUGCAACGGUUAAAACGCUUCAUACAGAGGGAUCAGGAGCAGUUAAUACCGUCUACAGAUCCACCGAUGCCUCCUCCUGACGUUCCUCCAGAUCCCGGCCCAUCUACAAGAGAACCCUGACGGCCUUCCAUUAUUCCGAGAGGAGGGGAUGAUGUGAGGGCCAAGUGUACGGCUACGAUGCCGUAUACUAAUAUUAGCAUAGUGGAUUUUGGUAGCCGUCGGAUUGGUUUCAAUCCGGACCACUCGCUCCUAUAUAUAAGCUAGGGUUUUUGGGUUAAUUGAUAUGCACAUUUCUGUAUUCCCUUUCCAUAUUCCAUGCACUCACAUUGUAUGUAUAUCUAUUUUAAUAAUAAUCAAAUCAAAUAAAAAACAUUUAAGACAAAGUUACAGUUAGAGAUUUCCACUCCUCUAGCAUAUUUCAACGCUACCAUCGUUAAACUUUCGAGUGGCCUCAAGCGCACACCUUCUCUGGUUCAUGAGCUGGGUCUUCAUUUUACUCGCCAUGCAGUUCUGAUGCUUUUGCUGUUUUGCAGUCCCCUUGGAAACCACGGCGUUGCUUGGAGCAAAGUUGAACACUUGGUGCAGGAGAUCGUUUUCCUGCAAGUGCCUCUGAAAGCCUUCGCCCAGGAGCCUUCGGAAGGCAUUGAGCUGCACGGUUUGGCUCCACGUACCGAUCUUGAGCGAGUCACCAUGCUUGAGCUUGACACAAAGUCUCAUGACACGCACCACCUUGGAGAGUCGCCACCAUGUCCCUGAAGCUGCUCCUCUGCUCGGAUCUUUCUUUCUUCGUCUGGCCCUUCCGGCUGGAAGAGGCAGCCAGCGCUUUCAUCUGAUCCACCACCUGCAGCUCCAUUGCCGUUGCUCCACCUUCGCCAAGAGCUUGCUCCUCCAACAGGUGGAUGCUGCCAACUUCGAAGAGAAGAGCAAUGGCUUCCCCGGCAGCCUUGCAAACACCUACAUCUGGAUCCUCGAGCAAACAGGACAGAGCUCCCAACACACUAGGGAGCUGGAGGGCCAUGACUCUCUUGGAACUCAACGUAGAAAGCAGCAAACUCCAGGCCGUGAUGGCGGCCGCCUUGACUGGAGGUGUGGGUUUGCUCGUACCAAGAGUUUGAUCUGCGUGAGCACUGCCUUUGUGGAUGACAAUCUGCCACAGGACCUCCAUCGCGCUUGCCUCCUCCAAGUCCACGCCACCAACGAAAGCCAACAUCCCGAGAGCCUCAAUCGCUGAAACCCUCGCGGCAGAAUCGCGUCCGAGCUUGGAAAUCUUGGAGAGAUGAGGGAAGCUAGCCUCGAAUACGUGCUCGGCCACUUUCCCUGCCCCCGCGGUGAUGGAAACCAUGGCCAGAGCACGCCCCGCAAGAGCAGCCUCUGUCGAAGAACUCUGCUUGAUUGACGACAGGAUUUGAUGAGUCAACGUUUCAUACUUGUCGUCGACGAAGUGGGUCAUCACCCUCGCCACGAAAGCGUCGAUCAUGCCCUUCAAGCCGGCCUCUCGGGUGCUGGAUCGCUUCUCGUACAAACAAUCCAAGCUUGCCUCCAAGUCCAAGAGUGUGGACGAAGAGUCGUCGUCCAUAUGCUCCGUGUCACACUCGUGGUGUUGUUUGAGUUUGUUCUCCUUGUCUUCGGCAUGCCUCUUGCACUUCUUGGACAAUCUCUUUGACGAUCGCACCUUAACGCACUCCAUCGCCCGUUUGCUGACUGGGAGAAUGAGAAAGCCCUAGUUCUUUGCGAUCUUUUAUACUCGCAGAGGGCGAGGCUUAAUAUUACUUUUGAACUUCACCUGGAGAAAGAUAGCAAAGAUGAGAAAAAACGAAAGAGUUGCUGAUCACACGUUAAACAAGGGCAAUCUUGCUAGACAAGGGGAAAACUAGGUUAACCAUCUGGCCAUGAAUAUUCCUUACUUUAUUCUAUCUAUAAAGAGGAAUCGAACCCGAGAGCUGUGGUUUGGGAAACCAAAUCCUCAACCGAUUGGUCUAAGCUUUUUUAGUGAGCUAGCAAACCAGAACUAGGGCUACUUAUUGAGCAAAAAACUUUAGCAUAAAGUCCUUGUUGGUUGGACUCUUCGGCAUCGAACCCGGGUCUUCUACAACGGUUUAGAUAGCCUUGAUCUCAGCAACCGGGCUCCGAUAAUAAAAUAACGUACCAUGUACUUAAACCAUAUUGGCAGGGUGUGUUUACGUUUUGGUCGAUUGCCUCAUUACUCUCAAAAGCUUACCACUAUGUUCACGCGGUCAAUCAUGUGACAUUUACGUUCCUUUAUCACAUCUUCUUGCAUCUUCUCUUGGUGGAGGCAAAGCAAGACGAACUUGCCAAAAAUCGGUCCAAUCGACAAUGAAUGUCUCGAAAUCUAGUGAUCUUUUGGAUCGUUUUGAUACAAAAUAGAAGCAAGAUCUUGGUUACCACCCGAAAGCUUAAAGGUGCAAUUAAAACCAAGAUGGGGGCUUUUUUGGGAGAGGACGACAUCUUGAAAUUGUUCACAGUCCACGCCUGCCUGCCAUUCUUCUGCCAAUCACCUUCAAGACCCCCACACUUGUGCACAACUUUCUCGCUUGCUCACUUUAAUUCUGAGCAUGUUUUUGGUUUGGGAAGUCAAGAUUGGGGGCUCUGUUUUGCUCUUAUGUCGCUGCCAUACAGAGCUGAAAGAAGAGGCGGGAAAACCUGGUGAAACUCAAGGAGAUGAAACGCGCUGAGAAGAUGAAAGACAGGUAUAACACGCAGUCACUACAAAGUCUGCUCGUUUUCCUCUCACUUGCGCUGCAGAAUGAGGAGCAGAAAGUUUCUCCCCUGGAGGGUACGAAGCUAGAGAGAAGUUGUAAACAUGCUAACGAGGCACUCAAUGUUCAGCGCUCAAGAAAGGCCAAGCUGAAAAGUAAACCGCUUGAAGAGGUCGAGUAGAAUUCUCGACAUUUUUUCAGCUUGAGAUCUUUGUAGUAUACACAAGUCGUUUUAGUUCUCUCUCUUAAGUGAUCUUAAGUUUGAUACAUUUGAAUAGUAGAGAUUUCCACUCCUCUAGCAUAUUUCAACGCUACCAUCGUUAAACUUUCGAGUGGCCUCAAGCGCACACCUUCUCUGGUUCAUGAGCUGGGUCUUCAUUUUACUCGCCAUGCAGUUCUGAUGCUUUUGCUGUUUUGCAGUCCCCUUGGAAACCACGGCGUUGCUUGGAGCAAAGUUGAACACUUGGUGCAGGAGAUCGUUUUCCUGCAAGUGCCUCUGAAAGCCUUCGCCCAGGAGCCUUCGGAAGGCAUUGAGCUGCACGGUUUGGCUCCACGUACUGAUCUUGAGCGAGUCACCGUGCUUGAGCUUGACACAAGUCUCAUGACACGCACCACCUUGGAGAGUCGCCACCAUGUCCCUGAAGCUGCUCCUCUGCUCGGAUCUUUCUUUCUUCGUCUGGCCCUUCCGGCUGGAAGAGGCAGCCAGCGCUUUCAUCUGAUCCACCACCUGCAGCUCCAUUGCCGUUGCUUCACCUUCGCCAAGAGCUUGCUCCUCCAACAGGUGGAUGCCGCCAACUUCGCAGAGAAGAGCAAUGGCUUCCCCGGCAGCCUUGCAAACACCUACAUCUGGAUCCUCGAGCAAACAGGACAGAGCUCCCAACACACUAGGGAGCUGGAGGGCCAUGACUCUCUUGGAACUCAACGUAGAAAGCAGCAAACUCCAGGCCGUGAUGGCGGCCGCCUUGACUGGAGGUGUGGGUUUGCUCGUACCAAGGGUUUGAUCUGCGUGAGCACUGCCUUUGUGGAUGACAAUCUGCCACAGGACCUCCAUCGCGCUUGCCUCCUCCAAGUCCACGCCACCAACGAAAGCCAACAUCCCGAGAGCCUCAAUCGCUGAAACCCUCGCGGCAGAAUUGCGUCCGAGCUUGGAAAUCUUGGAGAGAUGAGGGAAGCUAGCCUCGAAUACGUGCUCGGCCACUUUCCCUGCUCCCGCGGUGAUGGAAACCAUGGCCAGAGCACGCCCCGCAAGAGCAGCCUCUGUCGAAGAACUCCGCUUGAUUGACGACAGGAUUUGAUGAGUCAACGUUUCAUACUUGUCCUCCACGAAGUGGGUCAUCACCCUUGCCACCAAAGCGUCGAUCAUGCCCUUCAAGCCGGCCUCUCGGGUGCUGGAUCGCUUCUCGUACAAACAAUCCAAGAUUGCCUCCAAGUCCAAGAGUGUGGACGAAGAGUCGUCGUCCAUAUGCUCCGUGUCACACUCGUGGUGUUGUUUGAGUUUGUUUUCCUUGUCUUCGGCAUGCCUCUUGCACUUCUUGGACAAUCUCUUUGACGAUCGCACCUUAACGCACUCCAUCGCCCGUUUGCUGACUGGAAGAAUGAGAAAGCCCUAGUUCUUUGCGAUCUUUUAUACUCGCGGAGGGCAAGGCUUAAUAAAAAUGUAAUUUACUUUUGAACUUCACCUGGAGAAAGAUAGCGAAGGUGAGAAGUAAAAACUCUGCUAGGAUGUCUUUGGAAAAUACAUGACGUUUUGGUACCAUCCCCCGCAUUCUCGGCGCUUCGUCCUUGGAAGAACCCAUUUGGUCGAUAGAUUGCGCUUGAUCGUUGUGUUGAGCUGAGAGAAAGAGGAGAGAGGCGUCACCAAAGUUCUCCAUUGUCAUUUCAUAAACUUGGUGUAACUUACCUGUUGACGAAUUGGAAGUGAUCAUCAGGCAACCGAUCCUUGGUAACUCUGAAAAGCUUACCACUACCAACGUUUCUGGGCCUCCUGUUGUAUCUAAACUAAUAGGCACGAGCUGUUACAACGAGUCAAACGAAUGUCAAGAAAGACAAACCUGGACGAGCUCUCAUUCGAUUCCCCUUCGACAGGACCAGCCACUGCCAGCUUUUUUGGCACUUGGCAUCUACUAGCUCAUCGGAGAACUUCACAAACCGUCGCUUGUUUUCUCCUUGGUUGUCAAACUGCAUCAGCUUCUUGGCUUAGCGUGACGAGGCAUUGCUUGCGAGGUCAUACUCCAGCCUACACAACGGCAGCUCGCUCAACACAAAACCUCUUUGAAAUGUAAGUGACAAAGCCACCCUCGGAGUGCCAGGCAGAUGUAAAGCUUCAAGUAGCAUAGCCCAUGCCUAGCAUAAACUGAGCAAGGUCGUCAUGGUGCUCUCGUCCAAGCCUGAAAGCCCUGCAAAACAAGGACUACUAGUAAAGCAAGUACUACCAAUCAGUAAAGCAUACCAUUUCACAGCGCUAGCAGCGUAACGCCUCCGUGAGCAGCAAGACAUCGGUGGAUAAACCAUGAACCUGUCAUAUACAAAGUGCACGUCCACAAAUGAUCAUGCUCUGUUAAAAUGAAUGCAAUCCAGUUACCUGUCAACAAUCCAAAGGACGCCGUCUCAGACUCCAGGACGCUUGUGCCCCAUAGGUAAUCUGGAUACUGCUACAGCAACGCCGCCUCCCCCAUCGCAACGCCACGCCUGCAACCUUCUGGUGUCUUCCACAUCCAUUUGGCUGGCGGAGGCCGUGCAGUUGAAGGAGCAGUGUGGAAUGGAGCGAGCCGGACAACCUGUGACCAAAACAAAUUUACCAAACUUCUCAGCGUAUAACCAACGUACCUCUAACGUCUAACGUGGUCGAAGUGUCCACAGUCAACAAAGCAAUCUGCCAACUCUCUAUUCUAUCUAUAGGCACAAUAGAAGAGUCGAACCCCAGACCAAAGGUCUGGGAGACCAGGGUCCUAAGCGACUGGUCUAAGCUUUUUUAGUGAGCUAGCAAACCAGAACUAGGGGUACUUAUUGACCAAAUUUUUUUUUCAUAAAGUCCUUGUUGGUUGGACUCUUCGGCAUCGAACCCGGGUCUUCUACAGCGGUUUACCUCUACACUUACCUGAUAGCCAUCAUCUCGGCAACCGGGCUCCGAUAAUAAAAUAACAAUACCAUGUAGUUAAACCAUAUGGCAGAUUGUCUUUGGAAAAUACAUGACGUUUUGGGCGAUCGCCCACCAUCCCCCCACCAUCCCCAGCAUUCUCAAUGCUCCAGGCCGGCGCUUCGUCCUUGGAAGAACCCAUUCGCGGAUUUUGGAGUUCGGAGGAGGACGGAAUCUAUCGAGAUUGGUCGAUCUUUGCGCUUGAUCGUUGUGUGUGAGCUGAAAAAAAGAGAAGAGAGGCAUCGCCCAAGGUCUCCAUUGUCACUUCAUACACUUGCCUAAACUUCCUUUGUUACGGUUUCUCCGCUUGAGGCCACCUCUGUAACUUACUUGUUGACGAACUGGUCAGGCAACCGAUCCUUCGUAACUCUGAAAAGCUCUUCUCCAGGUGGUCGAUCUUCACAAGCUUCCCACCGAUGUGAUCUGUGGCCUCUUCUUUCGUGGCAAGAAGGCUGCAAGCUCUGAGAGCCGCCAUGAAAACUCUCCCAUCUGGGGAGAUGUGGCUUUCCUCGUCGUCUUCUUGGAUCAUCCGGAAGAAGAGAUCCAUCGCCAGCUUUGCGUCGCCACACUCGACGUAGCCGAGCAGCAGGGAAGUCCACGAAACCACAUCUCGAGCGGCCAUCCUAUCGAAAACCAUCCGAGCGUCCCACACUUCGUAUAGAUGUCCGCGAGAGCGUUGGUGAUGAAAGCGUUGGAGUAGCAGCAGCGAAGCGUGGACACUGCCCGAGAGUGGAUCUCCAUCGCCGUGCUAAGCGCCCGGACCUUGACGAGCUUAUUCCUUCCGGAGCUUCCCUCGCUGCCAAGCUCGAGCAGGCCCUGAGAGCCGCCACGAAAGCUCUCGAGUCCGGCGAUGGUGUUGCGGAGCUCUCAUCCUCCUCACUUCCAUCGUUUCUUCUCAGCCGGUGGAAGAGCUCCAGCGCGAUCUCUCCCCGCCCAGCCUCGGCGUAGCCCAGCAUGAGAUUGACGAAGGAGGCGGCGUCGCGCCGGGGCAUGGCGUCGAAAACCCUGUGAGCGUCGACGAG